RNAcentral lists this long non-coding RNA (78938 nucleotides) under Populus tremula. RNAcentral describes it as "long non-coding RNA (PTRE_LNC002928)". The stretch from base 68012 to 68102 matches the Rfam family "MIR478 microRNA precursor family". Lineage: Eukaryota; Viridiplantae; Streptophyta; Magnoliopsida; Malpighiales; Salicaceae. The record is from RNAcentral.
GGCCAUCGCUUGUAGGAUUGAGGAUUCCAAAGUACUGAGCUGCCACAGCCCCUGUGAAGUUCACAGAAGGAGAGAUCGUGAAGGCCAUGCCAUGGCCACCAAGUGUAGGCAGCUCCGGGACCAUGGCAAACGCAAACUGGGUAGAGAACGAGAGACCGAGAAUUGUUGAUUAAAGAUGUGUUGAACUGAAAAGGGAUGGGAAGAAAGCACGGCCAAUUUGCCGUUUUGAAGUGUUUGUCAGCUCUAAGAGACCAUUUGGAUGGAUGUUUGCAAUCUCGCUGAGGAGCAGGUUGGCUCCAGUGAAGCCAUGAUAGAUGAAGUGGUUUUCCUCUUGAGCUAAGGCCAAGAGCUUCAAGGAAAGAAACAGGCCGAGUAGAAAGUGCAAUGAUUUGAACGAUGCAUUCAUCAUAAGAACGUGAAGAUUGUUUUUGCUUCUUCAGUUACACAUUGGUAAAAGAACAAAGUUUUUUCGCUUCGAGUUUCUCCUUAUUUGUUGUUACAGUUUCAAAUCCUCAGUCUAAAGACUGAAUUAUUAACAUGUCUCUUCACAUUGCUAUGACUUGGGGCGCAUUCGAACCUUCUCCAAAGCUUUUUCUUGGAAAAAAAAGAGAAGGGAAAACUACUUUUCAAAGUGGAUACAAGGUCAAAGAAAAUAAAAUUCGUUUGAAAAUCUUCUAUGGCGAGAAAUAAAUUCCGUUACUAAUUGGACAUCCAAAUUAAUUAUCAUUUUACUGAAUAUUGCAGAUUGAAAAUCUUCGUUGCUCGGACAUGCGGUGCGCAAGUGUCCGGAUUCAGACUUGGUUUUCCAGAAUUCUCUAGUUUGUUCACAGAUUGAAGUGUUGAAGGAACUAUACUUAAUUUAGGGUAAAAAGAAGAUUGAAGUGACAAAGAGCACUGGGUGGCAUUUCUUUAAUUUAUCUAAACCAAAAUAAAAGGAUGUUCAAGCCUGAUUCUUAUGAGCAAAUGGAAAUGGGGUCAUAGAUUGCAAACUAGAUGGGUGGCUUGAGCUUGCUGAUUUUUUUUUUGGAAUUAAUAAGCUAAGUUAUUUUAAAUAAUACAAAUAAAAAAUAUAGCUAAAUUAAAAAAUAAAUUGACAAAAAAAAAAAGAUUGUUCAAGCAUCAAUGUUUUUAAAAAAGCAAAACAAACAUGUAUUUAAUAAGUUUGAUUAAUUUAAUAAUAUGAUUAAAAAAAAUACAUCGAUUGUAAAUAAAACAAAUUUUUUUAGCAAUAGUCACCUAUAAAAAAAUAGCUGUCAAUAUAAUACUUAAGAGCAAAUGAAUGAAAAGCUCGUUGGAAAUUCAUCAUCACUUCACUGUGGACACCGCCUUACCACUAGAAAGAAAACCAAACAAAAUUUCAUGAAGUGAGUAUCUAAUGCUUAUAUUCAAUCAAAUAAUUUAAUUUAAUAAAAAUGCUAAAUUUAACAAAAGCGUCAAUAAAAAAAAUAACGGAACUCAAUCUUUGAUUAAAUAAAUAUCGAAUGAUGAAACUAAAGAAACGUGAGCUUAAAAAAAAGAGGAUAAAAUGACGAUAAAAUUUGAUAGGAAAAAAAAAUUAAAGGAUGAUGAAAUCGUAAAAAAAAAAAUUCAAUUCUAAAAACCAUCUAAAAUAAAUAAAUAUCAAUCAAAAGAAUAAUGACCAAAUUUAAUAGAUGAAAAAAUUAAGGGAGGAUGAAGUUGAAAAAAAAUUUAAUUUUAUAAAUUAUUUUAAAUAAAAUAAAUAAUAAUAAAAAAAGACCAAACUCAAAGAAAAAAUAAAUUAAAAAGCUGAAUUUAAAAUUUAAAGGAUUAAAUAUAAAAAUCAAAAAGAAAAAAAAAACCAUUAUCACCAAACCUUAGAUUCAAUGGUCAUAAGUGUAGCCCAUACAUGAAGGGCUAUUAAGAUGUUCCAGUCUUAUCUUGAAAGCCACUAUUUGCCUCCUAACAUCAUCUUACUAGCCACACAAAUAACACAAGAAAAGCUCAUGUGCCAGUUUUUUUUUUCAAUAUUUAUAUUUAUUAAAUAAUUAAAUUGCUUUUAAAUCAACUUUAUUAUAACCACAAAAAUAAUAGUUUGAAAAGAUGGAAAAUCCAGUAUGCAAGUUAAUUAUUUUUUACAUCAGUUUUUUACUACAGUCAAUAAAGUGUAAGAACAGAUAAGCCCUUGAAAAUCAGUUUAAUAACUCCUUUUCUUUUAAAGGCUUUUUUGUCAUUUUAAAGCGAAAAAAAUAACAUGUGAAGAUCUUUUUGCUCUUGAUGAAUCUGAUAAGAUAAAUGGAUCCCAGACUAAAUAGAUCUCAAUAUUUCAGUACAAGGGCAAAUCUGUAAAUCCACCAUUCCAAUGAAUAACCUUGCUCAAGUAUGCGUAAUAUUUAUUUAUUUAUUUUUAAUUUAAUUUAAUUUAAAAGGUGAGCAUAACAUGAAAAUCCCAUUUCAACGACGUUAUUUCUAGGUAGCCAUCUUUGACUUUAUACAAAAGAACGAUCCCAUCUUAGAAAAAGCACUGCUCCUUGUUAAAUAUUGAUAGCUAAUUGAAAAUGACAAUUCUCUCUUUAAUGCAGAUGUGUUAUUUAUUUUUGUAUUUUAAAAAUAUUUUUGAAAAAAAAUAAAUUUUUUAUGUUUUUAUUUUAAAUUAAUAUUUUUUAAUGUUUUUAGAUUAUUUUGAUGUGUUGAUAUUAAAAAUAAUUUUUUAAAAAUAAAAAAUAUUAUUUAAAAAUAUUUUUAAAUAAAAAACACUUCAAAAAACAAUUAUAGCAAAACUCCAAACACUUAGUCAAUUUAUCAACAACUCUAAUCUUUGAAGGAUGGUUGAAGUGUGCUCACUGAUUGAGUCUCAAUGCUUAACUCUAAAUUUUUAGUCUACUUUGGGUUUUGAUCAAGAAAAAAGGAGAGGGUAAAGAUGAUAAUAAACAAGUAAAUGUAGUUUUAGUAGUGCGUUUCCAUUUAAAAAAAGUUUUUGAUUUUUUAAUUUAAAAUUAAUAAUUUUUUAGUAUUUUGGAUUAUUAUUAUGUGUUGAUAUCAAAAAUAAUUUUUUAAAAAUAAAAAAUAAUAUUUUUAUAUAUUUUUAAAUAAAAAAUAUUUUAAAAAAUAAUUAUUAAAAACUUGGGGUGGAGUAAGUAACACCUAAUGCGUUGGCGUGGCUCUCGUCCCGUCUCCUAAUGGUAAGAUGCAUAUAUAGCACACAAAUUAUUCUUACCAUACGCUUAUCCUUAAAUCCGCUCCACUCAUGCCUCUAGCCAUUUAGCUCUCGUCCUUUUUUUUUUCUUUUCUUUUUUGAUUAAAUGGAUUUGAGUUCUAUAAUUUCAUCAAUUUUAAGAAACAUUGACAAGAUUUAUGGGGAUCAUUUGAAUUAACCAACCAUUUAAAAAAAAUAUUUCCUAAAUUAAUUAAUUAUUUUAACAUAAAAAAUAAUAUAUUUAAAAUAAAUUAUAGAUAAAUAAGAAAUUAAUCCUAAUAAAUUUAAAUAACAUUAAUUUCAAAUUGAAAAAUUAUAUGAUUUUAUAAUCUAUAUAGUAAGAAGUUCAAGGUUUAAAUUGACUUAUAAAACACAAAAGCAAUGUAGAUUUUGAGCUUAAAUUAAGCGCUCGACUAAGGCUUGAGUUAAUUAUUAUUUUUAAUUGAGUGUUUCAAAAUUAUUUUUAGGCCUUGAUUUAUAGUGUAAUAUUUUAAGAUAAUGUUGUUUGAAUCUUGAAUAUUGAGAGUGUUUACAAUAAAGACAAGAAUUUUAACAUUUAUAAUAAAUGAUUGAAUCAUUAAUUUAUAGCAGCAUAACCUGCUUUCUUUAUUCUUUAGGAAGUAGGUAAAUCUAUUUUGUUUAUAUAAAUUAUUAUUUAUUUGAUGCGAAAGACAUUAAUCAAAAAUUAACUUCAUCAACCAUAAAUCAACCAUCAUUGAUUGACUUUAAUCAAUCAAGAUCGACAAUAAUCAACCAGGAUGGAUUGACAAUGCAUGCCAAGUUUAAAUAGAAUUUGUUAUGUGUUUCUAAAUUUAUUAAUUCUACUAGUUAAGAAAUAUAUGUACAUUAAUAAUCGAACUAUACAAUUUUGACACAGUUUGAAUACUCCUAGUAUAAUUUUGACACAGUUUGAAUACUGCUAAAAGCCCUCCUUACCUUUAGGCUUACAGUCUGCAGGGAGCAGGGAGGGUGACUGUUCUAUGGUAACAGCUCACAAGAUACAAGUGGUUGGAAAAAAAUUGCAGAAAUGCUACAAUCUUCAAAAUUCUACGGCAUCUUCCUUUAUAUUUCACAUCGAACAAGUCUUAAUAUACAUAUUUACGUAAUCAAUCCUCCAUAAAGCAUUGUUGGUUCAACGACCACUGAGGAUUGAUUCAGAGUCGGACAAGGAAUUGGAAGAAAUUCCACCUGAUGAUAUCGGGAUUGUUAGAACUUGCUUGGAAUCAUGGGAUACUUUCUUGAUUACGACUUGCAUAUUGGAAGAUUGUUCUUGUUGUUGGGACAAUUGUGUAGGCACCACACCUCAUCUUACGCCUCUUUUACGGACAUGACAAACGCAGGUGAGCCACAAAUGCCUUUCCCUUAAUAGAAGAAGGUAGUAGGAGUGCAAAACCUUAUCUUACUGCCAUCUAGAAGCUUCGAUGUCGAAGGAAGAGGACCUGAAACAAAAAUAAAGGUAAAACCUUGGAUCAUGAAGGGAAAAGCCCACGACUCAAAAUCUCUGCUUUUGUUUGAAACUGAAAGGCUUUCUGCCUUUUUUUUUUUUUUUUUUAAUUCUCUUUGGCUUUUCAACUUGUGGUUCGAUUUGGGGUUUCGAUUCUUGAGAAUGCGUCGUGAAAGAGAUAAUAAAAUGGAUCUUAUGGCCAACAGAUAAACAAGGGGUCUUGAAGGGGAUGAUGGAAGAAUGGGCAAUGAUUUGGUCCCAAAACGAAAUUUGCAUUUUGAAUGGAGAAUCAGAGCCCCGAUGAUGAUUGUUCUUGAUGAUGUGCGCAUAGUAGUAUUUUUGUUAAUUUGAUGUAUCCGAUUUUUAGUUAAAUAAAAUAUAAUGACAAACUUAUAAUACUUUAAUUUUUGUAUUAAUUUGAAGUAUUAUAAACUUAAAAAAUUUAGGGUAACUUUUUAAUUUUUUUUACAUAAUCCAAUAGAGUAACUCGGGUAAAAUUAAGGAAAUCCAAACCCUUUUUCAAUUUUAACCCAUUAAUUUUUACUUAAGCUAGAACACUUAAGAAUUAGUAAUUACUAGAUAGGUGGUCCGCGUUAUGCCGUGAACUCACCUAUUAUUUUAAUAAAAAAAUAUCAUAAAAAUCUAAGACCUAAAACAUUAGGUGUGGCUGCAGCAUCGGAUCCAAGAGUGUUGAGUUUGGCUGCAAUGCAAAACACAACAAUAAUAUUUAUAAUAUUAAUAAUAAUAUUUAACUUGUUUGCCAAAUUUUUUAUAUUUUUUAAUCUUUCAAAAACAAUUAUGGUUUUACUUCAAUAAUAAUAAUAGUUUUUUUAAAAUUUAAUAAUAAUAAUAAUAGUAAUAAUAAUUGUUAUUAUUAUUAUUAUUAUUAUUAUUAUUAUUAUUUUUAAUUUUACACUUUAAAUUUAAUCUAUGGUUGUUUUUCAAUAUUGAUAAUAAUGUUUUUCAAAUUUAUUAAUUAUUUUAAUAAUAAUAAUAAUAUUUAUAAAUACAAAAAAAUUAUAUUUAGAAACCUAAGACUCAAGAACCUUAGGUUUUCAUGUAGGACCCAAGAGCUUUGAGUCUUGACACAACCCAAUGAAAUUGGGUCGUGAUUCAGAACCCAAAAAUAUUGGGUCCUAGCAUAGGAUCCAUUAGCCUUGAAUCUUGACGCAGAACCCAAUAGAUUGAGUCUUGAUGAGAGACCAAUAAUAUUGGGUCAGGCGGGGCUCCAGAUCCAAGGGAUUUGGGUCUGCUCCAUAGCCACACCCAAGGGCUCACGAGAGACCAAUAAUAUUGAGUCAGGUGGGGCUCUAGACCCAAGGGAUUUAGGUAUGCUCCAUAGCCACACCCAAGCUCCCUUGGGUGUGGCCCCCUUUUCCUGCUCCAAAUUUGUUGGGUCUGGAAAAGAUUGCAUGAGCCAAGAGAAAAUAAAAAUAAAAUAAAAAAUAAAUUAUUGAUGGGUUCUGCUAUGAAUAGGACUCACGCUGAUGGGUCGUGCUCGCAACAGGAGUUGAGGUUGAUGGGUUAGCGACGGUCGGACCCAAAGCUAUUUUUAGUCUUUUUUAGAGUAGGACUUAAUGUAUUUUUUUUUUGGUGUGGUUGCCACAACAAGAUCCAAUCUCAAUAUAUUUAAAAAUAAAAUUAAACAAAAUACAAAAACAUAAAAAAUAUUAAUUUGACAUAAAGAAAACAAUAAAACAAUUUCAUUUUUUUUCAAAGCAUUUUUUUAAAUGCAAAACUAAACAUGCUUUAAUAAGAAAAUUCAACCCAACUUGAAAUGAAAAAAAAAAUUAUCAUCACCCAACUUUUGUAUAAUAUAAAAAAAGUCACAUUAAAUUAUUUCCUCUUUAGUAUGAAAAAAAAUCAAUAAGAGAAAAGAAAAAAAAUUUCAAGAGUGAAAAAAAUAAAAUUGGAAAUAUCUUAAAAUAUAUUUUUUAUUUUUUUAAAAAAUAUAUUGUGAUAAUAUUUUUUUUUAUUUUUUUAAAUCUAUUUUAUAUAUAAUCACAUCAAAAUAAUACAAAACAUCUUAAUAUGAAUUAAAAGAAAAAAAAAUAUUAAUUUGAAGUAAUGAAAAAAAUAAAAAAUUAUCAAUUUUUUUUCAAAGCAUUUUUAAAAACCAAAACCAAACAUGCUUUAAUAAAGAAAAUUCAACCCCACCUGAAAUGAAAAUAAAUUACCAUCACCCAAAUUUUGCAUAAUAUAAAAAAAGUCACAUUAAUUUAUUUCCUUUUAUAUUUUUCAAUCUUUUAAAAAAAGUUUAUGUUUGUCUUUGAUGAUAGUAAUAAUUGUUUUCUAAAAUCUAGUAAUGACAAUAAUAACAAUAACAAUAGUAGUAAUAAUUCUUAAUUUUACCAUUCAAAUCAAAUCUAUUAUUUUUUUUUCAAUAUUAAUAAUAUUUUCUACAAAUUUAUUAAUUAUUAUAUGAAUAAUAUUAAUUAUAAUAAAAAUUAUAAUAUUUAUAAUAAAAAUCAUAGUAUUUUUAAUAUUAAUUAUAAAAAUAUCAUAAUAUUUAUAUCAUAAAUAAUAAUAUUUUUAAUACUAAUGCCAAAUUUUUUAUUGUAAUAAAUUUUAAUGUUUUUUUAUUAACGAUAACAACAACAAUAACAACAAUAACAAUAAUUGAUAUAUAUAUAUAUAUAUAUAUAUUUUCAUUUUUAUUCUUUUUCCGCGCUACGCCGCGGACUUACCUUUUAUUUUAAUAAAAAGAUAUUUUAGAAAUCUAAGACCAAAAAGUGUUUGAUUUGGCUGCAAUAUCGGACCAAAGAGCGUUGCGUUUUGCUGCAACGCCAAACCCAACAAUAAUAUUUAUAAUAUUAAUAAUAAUAUUUAAUUUGUCUGCAAAAAUUUCUAUUUUUUUUAAUGUUGAAAAAUAAAAUAUAGUUUUGCUUCAAUAGUAAUAAUAGUUUUAAAAACUUUAUUAAUGGUAAUGAUGAUGAUGAUAAUUAAUCUUACACUUCAAAUCAAAUCUAUAGUUGCUUUUUAAUAUUAAUAAUAUUUUUUUUCAAAUUUAUUAGUUUUUUUAUUAAUAAUAUUAAUUAUAAUAUAAAUAAUAAUAUUUAUAAUAUAAAUAAUUAUAUUUAGAAAUCUAAGAUACAAGAAUCUUGGGUCAUGAUGCAGGACCCAUUAGCCUUGGUCCUGACAUUGGACCUAUGAGUCUUGGGUCCUAACACAACCCAAGGGAACUGGGUCCUGACGCACAACCAAACAACAUUGGGUUCUGAUGGAAGACCUAUUAGCCUCGGUUCUUGACGCUUGACCCACUAGCCUUGGGUCUUGAUACACGACCCAAGAACAUUGGGUUGUGACAAAGGACCAAUAAUCUUGGGUCAGGCCACUCUUUAAGACCCAAGGGAUUUGUGUCUGUGCCUAGCCACAUCUAAGCUCCUUGGGUGAUGCGCCGUUUCCUACCCCAAGUUUUUAGGUCUGGAAGAGAAUGCCUGACCCAAGAGGAAAGGAAAAAAAAUGAAAAUAAUUAUUGAUGGGUCUUGCUAAGAACGGGACCCAACGCUAAUGAAUCCUGUCAGGGAUAAGACCCAAGGCUGAUGGGUCCAGCCACCAGCUAUUUUGGGUCCUUCUUGGGGCAGGACUCAACUUAAUAUAUUUUCUUGGGUGUGGCUGCGCAACUAGACUCAAUCUCAAUAUAUUUAAAAACAAAAUUAAAUUUUUUUUAUCAUCAUCCAACUUUUAUAUAAUAUAGAAAAAGUCACAUUAAUUUAUUUUCUCUUUAUAGUAUGAAAAAAAAUCAAUAAGAGAAAAAAUAAUUCAAGAGGAAAAAAAAUAAAAUUGGGAAUAUCUUAAAAUAUAUAUUUUUAAAAAUAUUGAGAUAAUAUAUAUUUUUUUAUUUUUUUAAAUCUAUUUUUAUAAUCACAUCAAAAUAAUACAAAAACAUCUUAAUAUGAAUUAAAGGAAAAAAAAAAUAAUUUGAAGUAAAGAAAAAAAUAAAAAAUUGUCAAUUUUUUUCCAAAAUAUUUUUGAAAACCAAAACGAAACAUGUUUUAAUAAGAAAAUUAAACCCUACCUGAAAUGAUAACAAUAAAUAAUAUAUAUUUUUUAAUUUAGUAAUUAUAACAAUAAAUAAUAAUAAUAUUAAACUUGUUUAGUCCAAGUUUUAAUAUCCAUUAUUUUUUAUAAAAUUUAAUAAUAAUAAUAAUAAAUGUUAUUAGUUAUUAUCUUUGUUUUUAUUUUUUGUUAAAUUUGUUAUUUUUCUCUGUAUGAUCUGCAACUUCUAGAGUUUGCAGACCCUAGACACAACAGAAGAAACCCAAACGGGCGGGUCUGCACCUGCUCCCGAUUAUGCACACCCCAGACGCGGAAGUUGAUAGAAGUACCAAUACCGUGUAAUUUUUGUGGCACACAACUUUUAGAUAGAAAGAGAAAGAGGAAGUUGAAAGAAGUAUCUAUAAAUUUAAUCUUUAAAAGAUAAAUUAUCAAUAAAUCUUCUUGUGCUAAUUCUUAAGAUCAGUAAAUUUAUUUUUAUAGCUUAUCAUCCAAGAAAGUUCAAAUUUAAUUGUGCUUCAUAUAUUUAAAAAGCUACCUUUAAUUGUUUUUUCUUUCAAAAAAUAUUUCAUAAUAUUUUUUUUGAAUGUAUGUUUUUCUCAUUUAUAAAAAAAUUUAUAAUUAUAAUCUAUUCUUUUUUUAUACUACCAUUAUUAUAAAUUAUUCAAAUGAAAUUAUGAUUGUAAAAAUAAAAAAAAUAUAAAUUUUCAGAUAUGUAAUUUAAUUUUUAUAAAUAAAAAACUUAAAUAUCUUUAAGCAUAAUGACACGCUUCAAAAAAUUUCAAAGAAUUAUGACAAUUGACAAGAAUAAAAUUUUAUGAUAAUACAUAUUUAAUUUUAAAAAUUUGGAGAAAAAUAUAAAAAAAAUACAUAAUAUCAUUUACAAGAAUAAAAAAUAGAAAAACAAGAUAAUCAAAACCAUAAAUACAAUUAAUAAAGAUGGGUAAUGGGCCUGCAUGACAAGGCGGAGCUUUGCCAAGAAGGUAUUUGAAAAUAAUAAAGGUUGCAUUAUAAAAUAUUUUUUAAUUAAAAAUAUAUUAAAAUAAUGUAUUUUUUAUUUUUUUAAAAAUAAUUUAUAAUAAUAGAAUAUCAAAAUAAUCCAAAACAUAAAAAAAAUUAUUUUAAAUAAAAAAUCUAAAAAAAUAUACAUUUCCAAAUGCUAUCUAAAUAUUCAACAUUCACGACCAAAGAGCAGGGCAUAUAUAGCUGAUUUCAAUUUUAUCAUGGUCAAGUUCUUAUUUUCCUCAUCAAGCACACACCAUUGAGAUGGCAUGUAUUGGACUCCAUAUGCUGCUAUUAGCAUCUCUUCAUCACCUUUUCCUGAUAAAUCCAUGAAAAUUUUGAUUGUUCAUCGUUCCGAAAGAGUCCCCAAUGUCUCUCGAAAUGUCCUGGUGCAAUGCUCUUCUGAUUCUUCGAUUAGGCCAAAGAGAUACACAUCCAAUUAACCUCGUCGGACAGGGGUUCCCUUCUUUAAGGAGACCGUCAUGGAGCGUUUUAGCUAAUUUGGUGUCGGCAUUGAUGUUACCAUCUGUAGGCCAGCCAACUUGUCCCAUUAUGAUCUUCAAAUCGCCAGCACUGUUACCAUCUGUAGGCCAAAGAGCUUUAAUUUGACGAAGAAACUUCACAGCGUGAAUCAUGACAUCCUUUAUGCUGUUACGGAUAUUGCCAUUAAGGGCUGCUGUAGCUUUGAAUUUGUCUCCGACUCCAUCAUUGUCCAAAGCCUUAUGAACGUCUAGAAAUGGUGGAAACGUAAACGUAACAUUGUCGCAAGUGCUCUUAAAACUUGACAAGAAAGGCUCGUUCCCAACAGUCGAAGAGGGGUUAUUGGAAGAUGAUUUGUAAACUUCAGCACUGAGGGCUACUGUAGCUUUGCAUUUGUCUCCGACUUCAACCUUGUCCAAAGCCUUUUGAACGUUUUGCCAAAACUAGCAAUCAGCUGGCGUUUCUUUUAUUAAAAUUCUUUAGUAGUUUUAAAUAGUUUGUUUAAGCAUUUGAUACUAGCAAAAGGGAAAAGAUGGAAUGGGUGGCUUAUCCACGUUGCUGGAACCUCACAAGAUACUACCAAGAAUCUUGGAACUGUUUAAAAGAUUGUGGUUCAAGCUAUUCAUGAGCUCUAUUCAUGAGCUUUGCCUAUCAUCCUCAAUCAGAUGAGCAAUCUGAAAGAGUUAAUCAAUGAACAGAGAAAUACCUAAGAUGUAUGAACACAUCAGUACCAGUAAUUCUCACUUUGAUGGCUAUCCUGCAUCUGUAUCAAGUUCCUUUUGUUUUUGUUUUUUUUUUUUUGUCCGUAUUUUUCGGGGAGGCUAAUGUCUGUUAAAUCUUUUCAAGUAUGAGCUUGUUUUUCCUAAGAUGGAAUCAAGUCACUUCAUGUUUAACUUGCUCUGUGUAAGUUCUUUGAGGGACCCAAAUUAGAAUUAAAGUUGAUCAUUACAACUAAUCUCCAGUGCUUGAUAAAUUAGAGUCUGUUUAAUCACUUAGGGUAGUUGGAUACAGGAAAGGCUGCACAGCAAGUGAACGUACCCUGUCCCAAGAGGUUGCGCUGCCUCAUCUGCAACAAGCUGUGACCCAAUAACCAGGAGAAAUGAUGGAAGCUUUUUGAUCAGACAUCUCUAGCCAUUUCAUUAGGUAAUUGGGUAUCUACACUCUUUCUGAAAGCAGGGUUAUUAAUAUUGCUGCCUUCUUAUUGCAAAUUUUGUUGCAAUGUUUCUUCUACUUUUUCUUGGCUGGUGUUUUAAUCCCUUUUCAGCCUACAAAGCUGCUGUCUAUGUCUUCUAUCGUCCUUGAACGUGGUUUUUGCAAUCUUGACUGUUUGUAGAAAGAUUAAAACAGUUAUAUGUGUGUAUAACAUCAGCAUCAAGAUACAUUAUCACCAUUUUUUUUAUUCCACUACUAGUCUGUGAAUAAAUUAACCACCCGCCGGCCAGCAGCCAUAUCACACUGAACUGCACUCUAGUUAGGAUAAUCGAUGAUACUGGGUGUUGGAUUUUCUGUAUUUUAGAAAGUUGACUGAAGCCUAUGCUUUCUGCAGUCACUAUAUCAGAAGUCGGAAUAGUUCAAUAUGUAAUUAGCCUCCCAUGUAAAAACGAGGCAGGCAUAAGUGAUUAAUCAUUUUAGUCCAUAACAGAAGUAAGUGGAGAGUUUUAUAAAAAAAGGAACAAGGACUAAAUGAAUGGAGAAGGAAGAUCUGUGAAACUGAUUCUAACUAGUUUGGGAAUGCGGCAUGGUUGAGUUGAAAUGUGGGGUGGGGUUAGAGCACGGAGGAGAAUGGAAGAAGCUACACGGCCAUCAUUGACCAGCAUUGUUUCAUCAAACAUUGUACUAUUUCAACCAUGUGUUUUGCUUAAAUCAUAAAUUAUACCUAUGUUUCUAUGCUAAUUAAUUAACCCCUCUUGGAGUAGUCUUUGUGGUGCUUUGAGGAUUACUAUGGUAUGCACAAACCUUCUAAGUAUUCCAAUCUACCUUCCUCUUCACCACUAAUAUCAGGCUUGCCACAUGCCAGCUGUUAGUCUUGAGGUUAAAUAAUUUUUACAUCGUUAAGCCAUGAUUCUGUCACAAUUAUCAGAUUUCAAUGUAAAGUUGUUCUCUGUAUUUUCAUACCGAAAGGAAGAAUUCAGUCCUAUAAAUACAUGUAAUAAUCCCUAAUUUCUUGUCUAUAAUCCCUGAUUUGUAGUCUAUAAUAAAUACAAGAUAUUCUGUUACAAUUUGGUUGCCAUAUAUUGUUGAUAUUCUUGCCAUAAUAUACAUUGACAUCCCCGCUCAAAUUGAUGCUGGUCGAUCAAGAAGCAUCAAUUUGUCAAUCAUGAGUUGAUGUCGAGGCUGAGACAAGGCCUUCGUAAAGACAUCAGCUGUCUGAUGCUCGGUGGAAAUAUGAGGUAGUGUAAGAAUAUUAUGAUCAAGAGCUUCACGAAUAAAGUGACAAUCAACUUCAAUAUGUUUGGUGCGUUCAUGAAACACAGGAUUAGUAGCAAUCUGAAUAGCACUUGUGUUAUCAGCAUGAAGAGGUGUAGGAGUGUGCUGAGGAAAACCAAGUUCACGUAGCAAACCCUGGAGCCACACAAUUUCAGAACAUGCGGAGGACAUAGCUCGAUACUCAGAUUUUGUGGAAGAUUUUGAGAUUCGGUCUUGCUUUUUGCUUUUCCAUGAAAUUAAAGCAUUUUCAAGAAACAUACACCACCCAGUAACAGACCGACGUGUAUCCAUGCACCCUGCCCAAUUUGCAUCACUAUAACCUGUUAAUUGUAAUGAAUUAUCAGCAGGAAAAAAUAAUCCUCGCCCAGAUGUGCCUUUAAGAUAGCGAAGAAUUCUUCAAACAGCAGCUAAAUGAGGUUGACGAGGAGCCUGUAGAAACUGACUGACUUGUUGUACUGCAAAAGAAAUAUAUGGCCGAGUAAUGGUUAGAUAAUUCAAACUGCCCACCAAUUGCCUAUAUAUGGAGGGAUCAGGUAACAGGUCACCAUCAUUCUGACAAAGUUUUAAAUUAAUCUCAAGAGGUGUAAGAACGCUAUUCCCUGAUUCAAGACCGCCCAAGAGAAGAAUCUCUUGGGUGUAUUUGUGCUGAUGUAGAGAAAUCCCAUUAGACAUAGAGUGCACCUGGAGACCAAGGAAAUAGUGAAGGUGUCCCAGAUCCUUCAUAUAAAAUUCACUGUUAAUAGAACGCUGUAAAUCCUCAAUGAGUGGAAUGUCAGAUCCUGUAAUGAUAAUAUCAUCCACAUAUACCAGAAGAGCAACAAUACCAGUAGUAGUUUGCUGAAGAAAUAGAGAGGAAUCAUAUUGGCUCUGAAUAAAUUUAAGUUUCAGAAGAGUAGUGCGAAAUUUUUCAAACCAUGCCCGGGGUGCCUGUUUUAGACCAUACAGGGACCGUUUCAACCAGCAGACUUUAUCAGAUGGGUGAGUAAACAUACCAGGAGGAGGAGUUAUAUAAAUAUUCUCUUUCAAAUCUCCAUGUAAAAAUGCAUUUUUUACAUCCAUUUGACGAAGUGGCCAUCUCUUGGAAGCAACAAUUGCCAUAAUGGUGCGUAUGGUAGUCAUUUUAGCCACAGGUGCAAAUGUCUCCUCAUAAUUAAUACCAUAUGCCUGACAAUUUCCAAGAGCCACCAACCGUGCUUUAUAUCGUUCCACAAUCCAUCAGGUUGGAAUUUAAUAGUGUAUACCCAUUUGCAGCCAAUAGGUUUAAUACCGGUAGGACAAGAAACAAUAUCCCAUGUGUGAUUAUCCUGAAGAGCCUGAAGUUCCUCUUUCAUGGCCUGUUGCCAACAUUCUUGGGUACAAGCCUGCGCAUAAGUCUUAGGCACAAAAGUACUAUCAAUAGUGGUUGCUGAGUAUCCAUACCUGUUUGGGGCACGUGAAACUCUAGUUGAUCGUCUUAGUUGAGGGGAAUGAUCAGAUGUCGGUUCCGUGUCCGGAAGGGGCAAAGUGGAUGGUGGAUGACGUCUUUGAUAUACAAUUCCUGGCUUAAAACGUUCAAAGAUAUAAGAUGGACUAUCAUCAUCAAAUGUGGGAAGCUGGAUAGGAGUGGAGUCUGUAGAGGGACAAGAAGGGAAAAAAUUCUGAUUUUCAAAGAAAAUCACAUUUCGAGAGAUACGAAUUUUAUGAGCAUUUGCAUCAUAACAUACAAACCCUUUAUGAGAAUUACUAUAUCCUAGAAAAGCACAACGAGCAGUUGGGCUGAGAGUUUAUUACGUUCAGUAAAUGGUAAGUGAACAAAACAAACACACCCAAAAACAUGGAGAGAAUCAUACUCAGGAAGAACACCAAAUAAAAUAGAGUAUGGAGAUGCAAAGUUUAGAACUUGAGAAGGCAAACGAUUGAUUAGAUGAACGGCUGUUGAUAGAGCUUCUACCCAAAAUCGAGUAGGUACUGAAGAAUCAAUUAAUAAAGUGCGAACAACAUCUAAAAGAUGACGAUUCUUACGCUCAGCAAGUCCAUUUUGUUGAGGAGUGUAAGGACAAGAUCUUUGAGAGAGAAUCCCUUUGUUUUUGAGAUAUUCCUGAAAUUCUUUGGACACAUAUUCCCCCCGGAGUCAGAACGAAGUAUUUUAAUAUGAGCAGAAAAUUGAUUUUCAACAAAUACUAUGAAAGUCUGAAAUGUUGAGAAUACAUCAGCUUUAGAUCGGAGAAAAUAUAUCCAAGUGAAACGACUGAAAUCAUCAAUAAACGUGACAAAAUAUUUAUACUGAGCAUGAGAGAUAACAUGGCUUAUACCCCAUACAUCAGUAUGAAUAAUUUCAAAACAUUUAGAAGCACGACUACCAUGUGAAGGAAAUGAUAAUGCUUUGCUUUUACCCAAUUUGCAAGAACUACAGUCCAAAAAUUCUGUGGAAAAAGAAUUUUUAUUCCCCAAAUAUCCAUGUUUCAUAAGAUGAGUCAAUACAUUAGAAUUGGGAUGCCCCAAUUUCUUAUGCCAAAAAUGAGGAUUAUUAAUGACAGUAGAAUAAGCACAAGAAUUAAUACUAGGAAUAGAAAAUUGUAUUGGAAAUAAACGUCCCACUUUAGGCCCCUUCGCGAUCACCUUCCCCGACACUUGAUCCUGCACACAACAACCAUGACGAUUAAAGAGAAUUUCACAGUUAUUUUCUACCAUUUGACCAACAGAGAGUAAACUUGUUGAUAAUUUCGGUGACACAAAAAUAUUGUUGAAAUAAGACCCCAAAUUACCAAUCGAUAAAAUCGGCAGAUUAUCACCAUUUGCUACUUGUAUAUGCUGAUUACCCAUGUAUUUUCGCACAUUACACAACCCAUUUUCACUGCUGGUCAUGUGAUUCGACGCUGCCGAAUCCAUUAACCAUGGUUUAUUAUAUGCCGAAUCCAAAGAAAAGUUAAGUUUAUUACCAGAAAUCCCAAGUGCAGAGAAGGCAGAGAUGAUCAUCUGCUGCACCAUCUCGGGAGUGAUAGUGCCUGACGAAGAGCUCACCGACGAUGAAGAUUCUGGUGCCAACGGUAAGGACACGGCUGUGGCAGCCAUAGAAGUAGCCCCCAAUUUUGACUGCACAGUAAACCCUUGUCGAUUCUGUGGUCGCAGACGGCAUUCCCUGAUUACAUGCCCCUCCUUCUUACAAUAAUUACAGAAUUUCUUACUGCAAUUUCUGGCAAUGUGCCCUAAUUCCUUGCAAUUAAAACACUGCACACUCCCACCCCUCUGUCGUCCCCUUUCUUGAGCCAUGUAAGCCACAUUUAUCUCCGUGACAGUGUCCUGAGUCAACUCGUGUUGAGUGGCGAGUCGUUGUUCUUCCCGUAACAGUUCCCCCAAACAUUCAUCCAAGGUGGGUACUGGACUUCGGUUGAUCAAGCUAGCUCUCACGGCCUCAAAUUUUGGCCGGAGCUUCAUCAAGAACUGGUCCCUCUGGCUCUCGGCAUAAACAAGGUAUAGUGCUUCUAAACUCUCCUUCGGUAUUUUAGAGUAAAUUAUGCCAGUAUAUUCACUCCAUAGGUUUAGAAAUCCAGAAUAGAAUUGUUCAAUUGAGAGAUUACCUUGUUUGUAAUUGGCAAUACCCAUUUCGACCUGAAAUUUUUGAGUCGAAUUGUUCUGGGAAUAAAUGCGUCUGAAGUAGUCCCAAAUCUCAUUCCCUGUGCCAAACGAUCGAAGAUUGUUGAUCAUAUGGGGUUCAACAGACCCCAGUAUCCAGGAGACAAUUUUCGCAUCCUUGGUAGUCCAUAUACUCAGCUCCUGUGGUUCGGUUGGUGCUGGUGAAGAUCCAUCAAGAUGCCCCCAUAAUUCCUUCCUUUUAACAAACAUAUGAAACUGAAACUCCCAACUAUCAUAGUUUUUGCCAUUGAAUCGAGUAAGAAAAGCCUCUCCAGACAUCCUAGGAAUCCCAAAAAAAAUAUCACCAAAUACUGAUGAAUUCAGUCUCUAUAGACUUGAAAAGAACAAAGAUCUAGAUCAGAGAAUAACCGGCUCUGAUACCAUGUCACAAUUAUCAGAUUUCAAUGUAAAGUUGUUCUCUGUAUUUUCAUUGAUACCGAAAGGAAGAAUUCAAUCCUAUAAAUACAUGUAAUAAUCCCUAAUUUCCCGUCUAUAAUCCCUGAUUUGUAGUCUAUAAUAAAUACAAUAAAUACAAGAUAUUCUCUUACAAUUUGGUUGCCAUAUAUUGUUGAUAUUCUUGCCAUAAUAUACAUUGACAGAUUCAACGACCACGGCUGAGGAUUGAGUCGGUACUAGAGAAGGAAGGAGCAGAGUAAUCAUUAGAUCUAUGGAAAGACAAGUUGAAAUCCCCAGGCUCUUCAUGACUAACUGGCAUCAAACCUAUGCUUGCACCAUCAAGCGGCAUCUCUGGCAGGCUAGCAUUCCCAUCCAGAUAUUGCGCAAUUUGCCUCAUGCUUGGCCUUGCUUGUGGUGUAGAGAAAGAACAAAGCAGACCUAGCCUUAAAACCAAUUCCAUUUCCUCCACCACGUAAUUACCUUCCAAUUUUGGAUCAACCGUUCGAAGAAUGUCUCCUAUUUUCCAGGAAUCAAGAACCCAGUCAACCAAAAUCAUCUUUUCUGCUGAUUGUUCUGGCUCUAAAGGUUUCCUUCCACAAGCCAUUUCAAGCAUAAAAGUGCCAAAAGCAUAAACAUCACUGCUGGUAGUGGCCCUUCCUGUUCUAGUAACCUCUGGCGCAAUAUAUCCAACUGUUCCAACCACACAGGUUGUUUGAGGAUUGGCCCCGCGAUCAUAGAAUUUAGCAAGCCCAAAAUCUCCUAGUCGACCAUUGAAAUCAUCAUCUAACAGUAUAUUGCUAGCUUUCACAUCUCUAUGCAGAACAACCUGUUCCCACUCUUCAUGGAGGUAAAGAAGGGCAGACGCAACUCCUCUGAGGACCUGAUAUCGCCGAACCCAAUUAAGGCUGGGUGUGUCAUUGCGAAAUAGGAGUUUAUCAAGGCUUCCGCGGGGCAUGUAAUCAUAGACCAAGAGGAGCUCUCCCUUUCUCCGGCAAUAGCCUAGGAGCUGGACCAAGUUCCUGUGCCUCAGCCUUCCCAUGCUAGCAAUCUCAGCAACAAACUGCUUAGUUCCUUGUUUGGAAUCAUGGGAUACUUUCUUGAUCGCGACUUGCAUAUUGGAAGAAGGCAAUACUCCUCUGUAAACCUUUCCAAAACCACCACUUCCCAGCAACUUUCUGUCUGUGAAACCUGUAGUUGCUUUGUAUAAAUCCUCGUAGGAGAAUCUUUGAGGACCAUACUCCUGUUCCCAAUCUUCGCGCAGUUCUUCAUAUUUCUUCCUCCUUGUUAUACAAGCAGCACCAGAGAUUGCUACCAGCAAAAUGAUUGCUGUUAUUGUUGGGGCCAGAAUUCUUAAAUAUGGUUUCUUUCUUGAUUUUCUUUGAGGGGGAAGUGAAGGCAACUUUGACACGUCAAGACUUUGAGCUUGUCCGCCUCUGUUGAAGCUCCACCCCAGAAUAUAGUGGCUGCUAGCCACUGCUCCAGUAGAUGAAGAAAAACCAACGUACAUAGAAUCCAACAUAACAGAAGAAAGAUCGAGAGGUGUUGACAAAAGAGGCAAGGUUGGUUUUGUUCUUGUGACAGGAGCAACUGUAACAUUGAGUAGCUUCUCUACUUCAUCAUAAUCUAUCCACACGUGCAUCACAUGACCACUUAUGAGAGACAAGCUCUUAUUCUCCUUUUCCUCAUCUGAAAAGUAGGUCACCGGAGCAGAUUUAUUGGAUUUCAAGCUGUUUACAUCAAUUCCAACGUGGUGUCAUUGAUGUCUUUAAGAUCCGGGCUUGGAACUGCAUCCAGCUCAACUGCCACUAGAUGGUUUGAAGGUAGGCCAUCGCUUUUAGGAUUGAGGAUUCCAAAGUACUGAGUUGCCAUAGCCCCUGUGAAGUCCACAGAUGGAGAGAUUGUGAAGGCCAUGCCAUGGCCACCAAGUGUAGGCUGCUCCGGGACCAUGGCAAACGCAAACUGGGUAGAGAACGAGAGAGACCGAGAAUUGUUGAAUAAAGAUGUGUUGAACUGAAAAGGGAAUGGGAAGAAAGCACGGCCAAUUUGCUGUUUUGAAGUGUUUGUCAGCUCUAAGAGCCCAUUUGGAUGGAUUUUUGCAAUCCCGCUGAGGAGCAGGUCGGGUCCAGUGAAGCCAUGAUAGAUGAAGUGGUUUUCCUCUUGAGCUAAGGCCAAGAGCUUCAAGGAAACAAACAGGCCGAGUAGAAAGUGCAAUGAUUUGAACGAUGCAAUCAUCAUAAGAACGUGCAGAAGAUUGUUUUUGCUUCUUCAGUUACACAUUGGUAAAAGAACACACUUUUUUCGCUUCGAGUUUCUCCUUAUUUGUUGUUACAGUUUCAAAUCCUCAGUCUAAAGACUGAAUUAUAAACAAGUCUCGUCACAUUGCUAUGACUUGGGCGCAUUCGAACCUUCUCCAAAGCUUUUUCUUGGGAAAAAAAAUAGGGAAAACUACUUUUCAACCAAUAUGAGCUCGAAGUUUCCUUUGUAACUCUCGGAACUUCUUCGUAGUAUUCAUUCCAUGCCUUAUUUUAUAGGGAGCUUGAAAGUGGCUCUAUUUCAUUAUAUUUCAUUCAUAUCCCAAUUUUAUUAAUUUAAUAUCCCCUUUCUUUGGUGUCAUUAACAUCAAAGAUGUCGUUUCUAGUUUAUUUAUUUCUGUUUCUAUUUCUAUAUAUAUAUGUGGAGCAAUUAGGCAUAAAUUGAUAUUGAUCCCUAAAAAUUUGGUAACUUUUACUCCAUUAACAAUCACUUAUGAAUCUUUUUUCGGAUUAUACCCCUUAUCUCAAGUUUUGGAUCGAGCGAAUCCAUUGACACAAAUAGUUCAUGGGAGAAAAUGUUUAUAAUUAAUUAAUUAAUUAAAUUAAAUUUUUAAAAAAUUAAAUUUCUCAAAAAAUGUUAAAUUUAACAAAAAGCAACAAAUAAAAAGAUUCAAUAUAACCCAUGUUAUUUUCAAAACCAAUGAAAAUUUCUAUUGAAAUAAAAUAAAAAGAUAAUGGAACCUAAUCUCUAAUUAAAUAAAUACCGAAUGAUGAAAUUAAAGAGACAUGAGCUUAAAAAAAGGGAGAAAAUAAGUAUAAAAUUUGAUAGGAAAAAAAUUGGAGGAUGAAAUAAUAAUAAAAAAAUAAAUUCAAAAAACCAUCUAAAACAAAUAAAUAACAAUCAAAAGAAUAAAUAUCAAAUUUAAUAAAUAAAAAAUUUUCAAUUCUAUAAAUUAUUUAAAAUAAAAUAAAUAAUAAUUACAAGAAAAGAGAUCAAAUUCCAAGAAAAAAUAAAUUGAAAUGCUGGUUUUAAGUUUUAGAGGGUCACGUGUAGAAAUUAAGGAAUAAAAAAAAAAAGAAGAAGUUGUUAGCACCAAAUCUUAGGUUGGUUGACUACAAGCGUAACCCAGACGUAAAGGAGCUGUCAAGACAAUUUCAACACCGCCUUGAAAGCCACUAUUAAUCAAGGAGUCGAAAUUUAAAAAAAAGAAAAAAGAAGUUGUUAGCACCAAAUCUUAGGUUGGUUGACUACAAGCAUAACCAAGACGUAAAGGGGUUGUCAAGAUAAUUUCAACACCGCCUUGAAAGCCACUAUUAAUCAAGGAGUCGGAAUUAAAAAAAAAAAGAAGUUGUUAGCACCAAAUCUUAGGUUGGUUGACUACAAGCGUAACCCAGACGUAAAGGGGUUGUCAAAACAAUUUCAACACCGCCUUGAAAGCCACUAUUAAUCAAGGAGUCAGAAUAAAAAAGAAAAGAAAAAGUUCUUAGCACCAAACUUUAAGUUGGUUGACCAUAAGCGUAACUUAGAUGUUAAGGGGUUGCCAAAACAACAUUAACACCGCCUUGAAAUCUACUAUUUAAAUAACCACAUAAAUAGCACAAGAAAAGCCCAUCUGCCAGGUUUUUUUUAUAUAUAAAUAUAUUUAUUAAAUAAUCAAAUUGCUUGUAAAUCAAUUUUAUUAUAAUAAUAAAAAAACCAGUUUGAAAAAAUAAAAAAACUCCUGAAUAUAAGUUAAUUGUUUUUGCUUGUAAGUGUACAUCAGUCUUUUACAACGUUUAAGAAAGUGUUAAGGACAAAUAAGCUCUUGAAAACCAGUUGAAUAGCUUUAAGGGAUAUUUUUUUGUCAUUUUAAAGUGAAAAAAAAUAACAUGGGAAUAACUUUUUGCUCUUGAUUAAUUUGGAUCCCGUAAAAAGACUAAAUUGACCUCAAUAUUUCAGUGCAAGGGCAAAUCUGCAAACGCCCCAUUCCAAUGAAUAAACUUACAAGUCAAGUAUGUGUCUGAGAUUUAUUUAUUUAUUUAUAAUUUAAUUUAAUUUAAAGGGUGAAAAAUCCAUUUCAACGACGUUAUUUCUGGGUGGCCAUCUUUGACUCUAUGCACUUUGCAGAAGAACGGUACAAUCUUAGAAAAAUCACUGCGCCUUGAUAGCUAACUGAAAAUGACAAUUCUGUAUAUGAUUCUUGCGAUCCACUCAGAGAUUCUUUAUUUUUAAUGUUUUAAAAAUAUUUAUUAUUUAUUAUUAUUUUUAUUUCAAAUUAAUAUUUUUAUUGUGUUUUUAGAAUAUUUUAAUGUAUUAAUAUUUAAAAUAUUUUUUAAAAAAUAAAAAAUUAUUAUUUUAAUAUAUAUAUUUUUUUAAAAAAAAACUUAAAAAAAAUAACAGCUAUUCUCCUUUUCAAUUCCCUUUAAAAGAAAAUAGUAAUAAAUGAAUAUAAUAAAUAGUAGAAUUCAAAUACGUCAUGUCAUGUCAUGCGAUGCCAUGCCGUAGCCGAUACAUGAACUUGAGGUGGACACCUCAUGCGUUGGCGUGGCUCUCGUCUCGUCUCCUAAUGAAAGAUGCUGCUUAUCCUUGACCCACUACAGUUAUGCCUACCCAUUUAGCUCUCGUCUUUUUUCUAUUUCUAUCGUUUUUUUUUUCUUUUUUGAUUAAGUAAUAAUUGAGUGCUAUAAUCUUAUCCAUUUUAAGAAACAAUGACAAGAUUUAUGGAAUCAUUUGAAUUCCAAGUACAAGAGAAUCAGAAUAAUAAAUAACUCGACAAUAUUGAUAUCAAACCAUAUAAAAAUUAACUAUAUAAAUUAAUAAUAAUAAUAAUAAUAAAGAGUCAAAGAGAAUUGUCAGAUAUGAUAUUAAUGUAAGGAUAAAAACAAAGAUAAAAUAAUUAUUAAGGUUAGAGGAUCCACUAAUAAUAUUAGAGAUAAGUAAAGUAUAAAUUCUUUAUAAAUUAUUAUCAUGAUCAUAUUAAUCAUCUUAUUUACAUGAUACAUAUAAAUUUUAUCAAGUAUUCAUGAUGCUAACUUAUGUUGACAACAAAUCAAGUUUCUUUCAUAACAACAAUGUCAGCUGAAGACUAUGAAUGAUCAAGCAUUUAAUGUACCAAGUGUUAUAUAACACAAAUCUAGAUUAACCAUUUAAUAAGCAAGGUAUUAAGGAUUGAUAAAAUAAAAAGAUAAAACAUGUCAAUAUCAAAUUUUCUUGGAUAUAAGCAUUUAAGUUCAUAUUGAGUUUAUAUUAUACUUAUUUUAACACCAUUAGUGAAACCUUUUCACCUUGACAUGAUAAACUUAGCUAAACAUUAUGAAGAAUAAGAACAUAAAUAAACAAGAUAAGAACAUAGUUAACUAAGUAUAGUAGAUGAAAUGAAAAACAUAAACAAAAAACUACUAUAACAAGAAAUAAAACUUAAACACUACAAAAAUUCAAAGAAAGCAAGAACAUGGUCUUGAUCUAAAAACCAAGAUGCCUAAAUGAAUGGCAAAUGCCUCCUUUUAUAGGCUAAAAUUCAGAACUAUUCAUUUGGUAAUUGAUAAUUGAUGUACUUGUCAACUAUUGAUUUAGUGGACUUGAUGGACAACAGCACUCAAGCACUUUGGCUGGAUGAAAUGACAUUGAUGCAAUCAGAAUUUGGCAAAGUAUUAUUCAUGAGAGUUGUUGGAAAUCAUCUCCUCUUUCCACCCACAACAUUUCAAAGUAUUUGGAUCACUACAAAUCGAGAUAUGGCUAAAAUACUGAGUAGUGCUUCUUGUGGACGUGAUGUAUAGCCCUCAAGCUCUUGUUUGAAUGAAAUAUCAUUGUUAACCUCAUAAUUUGAGCAAGUGAUCUCAUGAAAGUUGUUGGAAAUUGUUUUAUCUUUCCACCCACCAAAUUUGACGUCAUUUUACCUUCUAAAACUCCAGCUAUGGGUAAAAUUCUGAGCAGUGUUUGGGUUGGAUUGCAGGAUAGAUUAUGACUUCUCUUUUGUGGCCAAGCUUUGAAUUUGAAAAUGGCAGCUUUGAAUAUAUAUAUAUUUCUUCUUUGCUCGCUCUACGACGCAGGCUCAACUUUUAUUUUCAUAAAAAGAUAUCAUAAAAAUCUAAGACCAAAAAGCGUUGGGCUUGGCUACAGUGUCGGACCCAAGAGCGUUGCGUCUGGCUUCAACGUCAAACCCAAAAAUAAUAAUUAUAAUAUUAAUAAUAAUAUUUUACUUGUCUGCCAAAAUAUCUAUUUUUUUAAUCUUUAAAAAAAAUUAUGGUUUUUUUUUCCGAUAGUAAUAAUAGUUUUUAAAAAUUUAUUGACGAUGAUUAUUAUUAUUUAUUUUAAACUUCAAAUCAAAUCUAUAGUUUUUUUUUUCAAUAUAGAUAAUAAUUUGUUUUCAAAUUUAUUAAUUAUUUUAUUAAUAAUAUUAAUUAUAAUAAAAAUAAUAAUGUUUAUAUCACAAAUAAUACUAUUUUUAAUAUUAAUACUUUUAAUUAUAAUAAAAAUAAUUAUAUUUAGAAAUCUAAAAUUCAAGAAUCUUUGGUCCAGAUGCAAGACCCAUUAGCCUUGGGUCCCGAUGUCGGACCCAAGAGUCUUAGGUGGACACAACCCAAGGGAAUUUGGUCCUAACAUAGGACCCAUUAACCUUUAUUCCUGAUGCAUGACCCAUUAACCUUAGGUCUUGAUGCAGGACCCAAGAGCAUUGGGUUAUGACGAAGGAUCAAUAAUCUUGGGUCAGACGGGUCUUUAAGACCCAAGGGAUUUGGGUCUGCGCCUAGCCACCCCCAUGCACCUUGUAUCUGGAAAAGAAUGCCUGACCCAAGAGGAAAGGAAAAAAAAUAAGAGAAAAAAAUUAUUGAUAGGUCUUGCUAAGAGCAGCAACCUACGCUAAUGGAUCCUGUUAGGGACAGACAGGAUCCAAGGCAGAUGUGUCCAGCGGCGGUUGGACCAAAAGCUAUUUUGGGUCAUUCUUGGGACAGGACCCAACUCGAAUGGGUCUUGUUGGGCAGGAACCAACUUAAUAUAUUCUCUUGGCUGUGGCUGUGCAGCCAGACUCAAUCUCAAUAUAAUUAAAAAAAUUAAAAGAAAUACAAAACAUCCAAAAUAUUAAUUUGAAGUAAAGAAAACAAUAAUUUUUUUUUAAUUUUUGAAACAUAAAACCAAACAUGCUUUAAUAAGAAAAUUCAACCCAGCCUGAAAUGAAAAAAAUUUAUCAUCACCCAACUUUUGUAUAAUAUAUAAAAAAAGUCACAAUAAUGUUUUUUCUCUUUACAGUAUGAAAAAAAAUCAAUAAGAGCAAAAAAAAAUCAAGAGGGAAAAAAUAAAAUUGGAAAUAUCUUAAAAUAUUUUUUAUUUUUUAAAAUCUAUUUUUAUAUAAUCACAUCAAAAUAAUACAAACACAUCUUAAUAUGAAUAAAAGGAAAAAAUUAUUAAUUUGAAGGAAAAAAAUAAAAAAUUGUCCAAUUUUUUUCAAAGCAUUUUUGAAAUCCAAAACGAAAGAUGCUUUAAUAAGGAAAUUCAACCCCACCUAAAAUGAUAACAAUAAAUAAUAGCUUUUUUUUCAAUUUACUAAUGAUAACAAUAAAUAACAAUAAUAUUUAGUAUAGUAAUAAUAAUAUCAAACUUGUCUAGUCCAAGUUUUUAUAGUAAUAAUCUUUUUAUAAAAUUUAUUAAUGAUAACAACAACAACAAUAAUAAUUGUUAUUAGUUAUUAUAUUUGUUUUCAAUUGUUUUCAAUUUUUUUUAUUUUUCUCUGAGGGGUCUGCAACUCUUGGAGGGGUCUGUGGACCCUAUGCACGGCAGAAAAAAUCCAGACGGGCAGGUCUGCACCCCGCUCCUAGUUCUGCACAUCCCAAGCGCUGGGUUAUGCAGACCCAAGCAACCGAGUUUGGAGCCCCAAGGGUGAGGGUCUGAAAAUCGUGAGGGGGGUCUGCAGACCCGCUUGCUUAGGUCUGCAGCCUUUACGUGCGGUUCUGCACAUCUUACGCUGCAGGAGUUCAUACCCACUCACCUGGGUCUGCAACCUUGCACGCAGCCCAGUCUUGGCACCUUGUGUCUGCAGCCUGGGAUCUACAGUCCCACUUGGCGCACAGGUACCCAAGGCUUGCUAGCCCCAGCACCAGGUGUCUGCAGCCUCACCACAACUGUAGUUGAUCUAGGGGAGCGGGUCUGCAGCCUUACCAUGCCCCACUACCACAGUGAAAUCUAUAAUGAAAUUACUCACAGUCCAUAAUAACUCUCGUUACAGUGUCAAACAGUGUAAUACACGGUGAAAAUGCUCCCAAUCCACAGUAAUUGUCAUUACAGUAAAAUAUUAAUCCUUUUUAGUUAUAGUUAAUAAACCAACCUACAAUAGGCCAAAGAAAAGCAUAGGCUUCUCAUUUGAUUAUUAUUAUUAUUAUUAUUAAAACCUAACGCUUGCUUUAAGCAUGUUUUUGUCCCAUUUAAAGCAUAAGCUUAUCCAAGUUGCUGCAACCUCACAAGAUACUUUCAGGUAUCUUCGAACUGUUUAAAAGAUUGUGGUUCAAGGUAUCCAUGAGCUUUGCCUAUCAUCCUCAUUUAGAUAGCAUAACUUAUUUAAGGAAAGCUCUACAUGGUAUAAAAUAGUGUGUAUAUAUAGUUUUAUUGUGUGGUUCAGUUAAUUAUUUUAAAAUUACUUAUAUAAAAAAAAUUUAUUUAAAAAAUAAGGUUAUAUAAACUUCAAUUUCUAGACCGAGUGUUUAAAAGUAUAGUAAUAAUUGCUUUUAAAAAUAUUUUUUAAUUUAAAAUAUAUUAAAAUAAUUUUUUUAAAAAAAUUAUUUAUGAUAUCAACAUAUUAAAUUGGAGUAAGAAAAAACUAAAAAGAUAUUAAAUUAAAAAAAACAUUUUUAAAAUAAAAAAAAUAAACAAACAAUUUAACUUUUUAUGGAGAAUUAGCAAUUUUUCAAGCUCAUUUUGUUAUUGUGAUAUCGAUUACUUUUUAAAGAGUUUUUUUCCUUGAAAAUAUAUUAAAAUAAUAUUUUUUUUAUUUUUUAAAAUUGAUUUUUAACAUAGUUGAAAACAUAAAAAAAAUUAAAAACAAAAUUAAAUUAAAAAAUAAGUACUUUUAAAAUAAAAAACAAACUUAUAUUUCAUUAUAAAAACCACACCACUGCACGGAUCAUCCUUCCCUGAUUCAUUUCUCUUCCUAUUGGCGGAUUAUCUUAGUGAGCUGAUUUGGUCAGUCGCAGCCACUACAACAGUUGAUCCAUGGCUGCAGUCCUUGCCUUUGACACCUCUGUGAACAGCAAGAUAUUAACAGGAGGAAAGGGAGUGGUCGGUUCUCUCUUCCAAGCUCUCACGGGCACCGUCAGUUCAUAUGAACACAUCAGUACCGGUAAUUUUCACUUUGAUGGCUAUCCUGCAUCUGUAUCAACUUCCUUUUGCUUUUUUUUUUUUUUUUUGUGGUAUUUUUCGGGGAGGCUAAUGUCUGUUAAAUCUUUUCCAGUAUGAGCUUGUUUUUCCUAAGAUGGAAUCAAGUCACUUCAUGUUUAUCUUGCUCUGUGUAAGCUCUUUGAGGGACCCAAAUUAGAAUUAAAGUUGAUCAUUACAACUAAUCUCCAUUGCUUGAUAAAUUAGAGUCUGUUUAAUCACUUAGGGUAGUUGGAUGCAGGAAAGGCUGCACAGCAAGUGAACGUAUCCUGUCCCAAGAGGUUGCGCUGCCUCAUCUGCAACAAGCUGUGACCCUAUAACCAGGAGAAAUGAUGGAAGCUUUUUGAUCAGACAUCUCUAGCCUUUUCAUUAGGUAAUUGGGUAUCUACACUCUUUCUGAAAGCAGGGUUAUUAAUAUUGCUGCCUUCUUAUUGCAAAUUUUGUUGCAAUGUUUCUUUUACUUUUUCUUGGCUGGUGUUUUAAUCCCUUUUCAACCUACAAAGCUGCUGUCUAUAUCUUCUUUCUUCCUUGAACGUGUUUUUUGCAAUCUAGACUGUUUGUAGAAAGAUUAAAACAGUUAUAUGUGUGUAACAUCAGCAUUGUUUCAUCAAACAUUGUACUAUUUCAACCAUGUGUUUUGCUUAAAUCAUAAAUUAUACCUAUGUUUCUAUGCUAAUUAAUUAACCCCUCUUGGAGCAGUUUUUUAUGGUGCUCUGAGGAUUCCCAUGGCAUGCACAAACCUUCCAAGACCUUCCAAGACCUUCCUCUCCCAGGCUUGCCACAUGCCAGCUGUUAGUCUUGAGGUUAAAGAUUCAACGACCACAGCUGAGGAUUGAGUCGGUACUAGAGAAGGAAGGAGCAGAGUAAUCAUUAGAUCUAUGGAAAGACAAGUUGAACUCCCCAGGCUCUUCAUGACUAACUGGCAUCAAACCUAUGCUAGCACCAUCAAGCGGCAUCUCUGGCAGGCUAGCAUUCCCAUCCAGAUAUUGCGCAAUUUGCCUCAUGCUUGGCCUUGCUUGUGGUGUAGAGAAAGAACAAAGCAGACCUAGCCUUAAAACCAAUUCCAUUUCCUCCACCACGUAAUUACCUUCCAAUUUUGGAUCAACCGUUCGAAGAAUGUCUCCUAAUUUACAGGAAUCAAGAACCCAGUCAACCAAAAUCAUCUUUUCCUCUGAUUGUUCUGGCUCUAAAGGUUUCCUUCCACAAGCCAUUUCAAGCAUAAAAGUGCCAAAAGCAAAAACAUCACUGCUGGUAGUGGUCCUUCCUGUUCUAGUAACCUCUGGCGCAAUAUAUCCAACUGUUCCAACCACACAGGUUGUUUGAGGAUUGGCCCCACGAUCAUAGAAUUUAGCAAGCCCAAAAUCUCCUAGUCGACCAUUGAAAUCAUCAUCUAACAGUAUAUUGCUAGCUUUCACAUCUCUAUGCAGAACAACCUGUUCCCACUCUUCUGAGGACCUGAUAUCGCUGAACCCAAUUAAGGCUGGGUGUGUCAUUCUGAAAUAGGAGUUUAUCAAGGCUUCCAUUGGGCAUGUAAUCAUAGACCAAGAGGAGCUCUCCCUUUCUCCGGCAAUAGCCUAGGAGCUGGACCAAGUUCCUGUGCCUCAGCCUUCCCAUGCUAACAAUCUCAGCAACAAACUGCUUAGUUCCUUGUUUGGAAUCAUGGGAUACUUUCUUGAUCGCGACUUGCAUAUUGGAAGAAGGCAAUACAAGGUCAAAGAAAAUAAAAUUCGUUUGAAAAUCUUCUAUGGCGAGAAAUAAAUUCCGUUACUAAUUGGACUUCCAAAUUAAUUAUUAUUUUACUGAAUAUUGCAGAUUGAAAAUCUUCGUUGCUCGGACAUGCAGUGCGCAAGUGUCCGGAUUCGGACUUGGUUUUCCAGAAUUCUCUAGUUGGUUCACAGAUUGAAGUGUUGAAGGAACACUGGGUGGGUAAAAGUGUUGAACAAACUCAAUCCAGAAGCUCCCAAAUGGUCAAGGAAGGCAACCACCAGCCGCCACCGACCAGCCGCAGCCGCCAGCCGCCUUCACACCUGCUGCCGCCAGCCGCCUUUACACUUGAAGGUUGAAUUUUCGUAUUUUGAUUUGUGUAUAAAUAGAGUGCCCAGCUUCUGUUAUAUGUGUGGAGAGAAUUGAGAGGAACACUUAAAAGAGAAUAGAGAGAGAGAGGGCGUGUAAUUGUUAAGCUUUUGUGUUGUAUUUGUAAGCUUCGGAUUUUGUAAUAAAACAAUUUGUUUUAUCCCCUCUUAGUGUUUCAAAGCCAUCACCAGUGGUUUCUCCUACCAACAAUUGAUAUCAGAGCCCCGUUCGUCGGAAAAGAGAAGAGUUUUGGGGUAUAUCCGAAUUUUCAAAGUUGUCAAAAACAAGUUUUGAUCAUUCCACAGUGUAGAGCUCAUCAAGACGAACUCACUGCCGUAAAAAUCAGCCUCAUCGGAGUCUGCGGUAGCCCACACGCGCCGCCUGAAUAUUCUACCAGAUUGCCCACGCACAUCCCACGCGCCCCGAGGUUGAAGACGACUGAGCCACAAGCGCGCCAUAUUUGAGCCGCGCCGAGCCGAGCCACAAGCCGAGCCGUACCCUCGCGCCGAGCCGAGCCGCGUUCCAGCCUCAGCCGAGCAGAAGGAAUAUUCCCCAGAAUAUUCCCGGUUCAAACCAGCGAACCACCCGUCGUACAGAAUUGGUUUUUGGACCGGUUCACCCAUUUUCUGACCCGAAUUUCAACAAAGUCAGACCGGUUCCCGACUAUUUGGACCAUUCCGGAUCGAUCUACAAUGUCCGUUUGGUCAAAUUCGGCUCCCAAAAGGCGAUAUAGUCAUUAAAAGAGCAAAAUGACUACAGAAGGUACACAUACACUCAUCCCGAAGCUGACCAAAGACAACUAUGAUAGUUGGUGCAUCAGAUUGAAGGCAUUCCUUGGGUCACAAGAGUGUUUGGAUAUUGUACAAACUGGUUAUGAUGAACCAGAAUCCAAAGAAAGAGAAGAUGCUUUACAAGAGGCACAUAAGCAAGCCUUGAAAGUCAACAGAAAGAAGAACAACAAAGCAAAGACCAUCAUCUACCAAGGUCUUGAUGAAGAUACAUUCGAGAUCAUAGCUUCCGCUGAAACAUCACAUGAUAUAUGGGAGGCUCUCCAACAGAAAUACAAAGGUGCUGACAGAAUCAAGAAGAUUCGUCUUCAAUCUUUGCGAGGAAAAUUUGAGUUAUUGCAAAUGAAGUCCUCGGAGUCUAUUUCUGAUUAUCAUACAAGGAUUAUGGUGAUAGUCAACCAUAUGAGAAGAAAUGGAGAAGCCCUCGUCGAUUCUCGAAUUACAGAAAAAAUUUUGAGAUCCCUAGAUCCAAAAUUCGAUUUUGUUGUUGUCGCAAUUGAAGAGUCCAAAGAAGUGGACAAGUUGACGGUUGAUGAGCUUAUGAGUUCGUUGCAAGCUCAUGAGCAGAAGAUAGUAAAGCGAAAUGGAGAUAAGGCCAUCGAGCAUGCCUUACAAGCAAAGCUGUCCCUCAAGGACAUAUAUGAGCAAGGGGAGACUUCAUCAAGUGGAUACACCACUCAAGGAGGAAGUCAACAAUCCAGAGGAGGAUUCCAGCAAUUCCAAGGAAGAGGUUCUUGGAAUACAAGCUUUAGAGGAAGAGGUGGCAGAAACACCACCAGAGGAGGCCGAGGACAACAAGCAUUCACUCCUAGAGGAAGAGGAGGCGGUUACAAUAACCGUGACAAGAGGAAUAUCAAAUGUUAUAGCUGCAAUCAAUUUGGGCACUAUAGCACUGAAUGCCGAUGGAAAGCUCCGUUGGAGAUACGUGAGCAUGCCAACUUUGCAGAGAAUGAUGACAGAGAAGCAUCAGCAUUUCUUGUCCAACAAGAACUUGGCGAGAAACAGGAAAAUAUAUGGUAUCUAGAUACUAGAGCCAACAAUCACAUGUGCAGCUACCGAGAGUUAUUUGGUGAUCUAGAUGAGACCAAGCAAGGUCUAGUUACUUUUGGAGAUACCACAAAGGUUCCAUUCAAAGGUAAAGGCAGCAUCCCAGUCAAGUUGAAGAAUGGCGAUUCCAGCUACAUCGCCGAUGUGUAUUAUGUCCUAGCCAUAAAGUAGAACCUGAUCAGCUUAGGUCAACUUUUAGAGAGAGGAUAUAGUUUUUACUCGAAGAAUUGUCAUCUGACAAUUAGAGACAACAAUGGGAGAUUAAUGGCCUACGUGAAAAUGUCCAAGAAUAGGAUGUUUCCUUUGAACAUCCAGUAUGAUGCAACAAGGUGUUUGAGUGCCAUCACCAACAGUGAAGAAUGGCUUUGGCACCUGAGGCUUGGACAUCUGAAUUUCAUGAGUUUGAAGAUGCUAGCAAGCAAGAAGAUGGUCAAAGGUUUGCCUCACAUUGAUCAUCCAGAUGAAGUCUGUGAAAGUUGUGUCCUCAGCAAACAUCACAGAUCCAGUUUUGCCAAAGAAGUCAACUGGAGAGCAAAGAGGCCACUGGAGUUAGUACACACAGAUGUGUGUGGCCCAAUUACGCCUAUGUCGACUGGACAAAAUAGGUACUUCCUCACUUUUACUGAUGAUUUUAGUAGAAAGACGUGGAUAUACUUUCUGAAGAGGAAGUCAGAAGUAUUCAAUUGUUUUAAAGAUUUUAAAGCAAUUGUGGAGAAGCAAACUGGUUAUACGAUCAGAACAGUGAGAUCUGAUCAAGGUGGAGAAUAUACAGCAAAUGACUUUGAAGCCUAUUGUACACAACAAGGCAUCCGACAUCAGACGACACCAGCUUAUACACCACAGCUGAACGGUGUAGCAGAAAGGAAGAAUCGCACGAUUCUUGACAUGGCCAGAAGUUUGCUCAAAGCAAAGAAGCUGCCCAAGCAAUACUGGGCUGAAGCUGUAUCAUGUGCAGUGUAUCUACUGAAUCGCUGCCCAACCAGAAGUUUGCAAGGAGUCACUCCAGAAGAAGCAUGGAGUGGUCAUAAACCAAGUGUUACUCAUCUACGAGUCUUUGGUUGUGUGGCAUAUGCAAAGAUCCCAGAUGCAAGAAGGAGAAAGCUCGAUGAUAAGAGCGAGAAAUGCAUCUUUGUCGGAUAUGGUGAAAGAAGGAUGGGAUACAGGCUGUAUAAUCCUAUCACGAAGAAGGUGAUUACAAGUAGAGAUGUUAUCUUUGAAGAAGAUAAAUCUUGGGAAUGGAAUGGUGAUCAAGAAGCAGUCAAAUGGAUCAAUCUUGAUUUGAUCCUUGAAGGUGAAGAAGUACCAACAGUACUUGUCGAAGAACCAAUUGUGCCAGCAGCUGAACCACAAAGUCCGGUGUUUAUACCAGCAGCUGAACCACAAAGUUCGGUGCACAGAUUCCCUGUAUUCAACAGGAGGAACACACCAGGAGCAUCAUCAUCAACACCACCAUCAGCAUCCUCAUUAGAAGGACCAAGAAAGAUGCGGAAUCUUGAAGAGUUGUACGAUACCACUCAGGUUAUGGAAGAUACAACUCUGUUUUGUUUUCAUGCAGAUAGUGACCCAUUAAGCUCCAAUAAAGCUGUCACAGAAAAGAAAUGGAUUAAAGCAAUGGAUGAAGAAAUACAUGCCAUUGAGAAGAAUGAUACCUUGAAGCUGACUCGUCCACCAGAAAAGAAGAAAGCAAUAUGUGUCAAAAGGGUCUACAAGACGAAAGCCAAAUUAGUGGAUAAAGGCUACAAGCAGAGAGAAGGCAGUGAAAGGAGAAGUGUUCAUGCUUGGCAUGACAUCCCUCGAUUGAGUUUAAAGGGGAGAUUUGUUGAAUAAACUCAAUCUAGAAGCUCCCAGAUGGUCAAGGAAGGCAACCACCAGCCGCCUUCACACCUGCUGCCGCCAGCCGCCUUCACACUUGAAGGUUGAAUUUUCGUAUUUUGAUUUGUGUAUAAAUAAAGUGCCCAGCUUAUGUUAUAUGUGUGGAGAGAAUUGAGAGAAACACUAGAAAGAGAAAGAGAGAGAGAGGGCGUGUUUAAGCUUUUGUGUUAAUUAAUUGUAAGCUUCGGUUUCUUGUAAUAAAACAAUGUGUUUUAUCCCCUCUGAGUGUUUCAAAGCCACCACCAGUAGUUUUUCCCACGAACAAAAAGAAGAUUGAAGUGACAAAGAGCACUGGGUGGCAUUUCUUUAAUUUAUCUAAACCAAAAUAAAAGGAUGUUCAAGCCUGAUUCUUAUGAGCAAAUGGAAAUGGGGUCAUAGAUUGCAAACUAGAUGGGUGGCUUCAGCUGGCUGAAUUUUUUAAAAAAACGUUAAAAAGAUGCUAAAACGACACAAUUGUUUCUGAAAAGUUAAAAAAUAUAAGACUUGAGUCUUUUUUUUUUGGAAUUAAUAAGCUAAGCGAUUUUAAAUAAUAAAAAUUAAAAAUAUAGUUAAAUUGAAAAACAAAUUGACAAAAAAAAAAGAUUGUUCCGGAAUUAAUAAAGCACCGUCUUAUCUUGAAAGCCACUAUUUGCCUCCUAACAUCAUCUUACUAGCCACACAAAUAACACAAGAAAAGCUCAUGUGCCAGUUUUUUUUUUCAAUAUUUAUAUUUAUUAAAUAAUUAAAUUGCUUUUAAAUCAACUUUAUUAUAACCAAAAAAAAAAGUUUGAAAAGAUGAAAAUCCAGUAUGCAAGUUAAUUAUUUUUUACAUCAGUUUUUUUCUACAGUUAAUAAAGUGUAAGGACAAAUAAGCCCUUGAAAAUCAGUUUAAUAACUCUUCUUUUAAAGGCUUUUUUGUCAUUUUAAAGCGAAAAAAAUAACAUGUGGAGAUCUUUUUGCUCUUGAUGAAUCUGAUAAGAUAAAUGGAUCCCAGACUAAAUAGAUCUCAAUAUUUCAGUACAAGGGCAAAUCUGUAAAUCCACCAUUCCAAUGAAUAACCUUGCUCAAGUAUGCGUGAGAUUUAUUUAUUUAUUUUUAAUUUAAUUUAAUUUAAUUUAAAAGGUGAGCAUAACAUGAAAAUUCCAUUUCGACGACGUUAUUUCUAGGUAGCCAUCUUUGACUUUAUACAAAAGAACGAUCCCAUCUUAGAAAAAGCACUGCUCCUUGUUAAAUAUUGAUAGCUAAUUGAAAAUGACAAUUCUCUCUUUAAUGCAAAUGUGUUAUUUAUUUUUGAAUUUUAAAAAUAUUUUUUAAAAAAUUUAUUUUUUUAUGUUUUUAUUUUAAAUUAAUAUUUUUAGAUUAUUUUGAUGUGUCGAUAUUAAAUAUAAUUUUUUAAAAAUAAAAAAUAUUAUUUAAAUAUAUUUUUAAAUACAAAAUACUUCAAAAAACAAUCACAACAAAACUUCAAACACCUAGUCAAUUUAUCAACAACUCUAAUCUUUGAAGGAUGGUCGAAGUGUGCUCUCUGAUUGAGUCUCAAUGCUUAACUCUAAAUUUUUAGUCUACUUUGGGUUUUGAGGAGACGGUAAAGAUGAUAAUAAACAACUAAAUGUAGUUUUAGUAGUAGUAUGUUUGCAUUUUAAAAAAGUUUUUGAUUUUUUUAUUUAAAAUUAAUAAUUUUUUAGUAUUUUGAAUUAUUAUUAUGUGUUGAUAUCAAAAAUAAUUUUUAAAAAAUAAAAAAAUAUUAUUUUUAUAUAUUUUUAAAUAAAAAAUACUAUAAUAUUUUUAAAUAACGUAGUAGACUCAUAAUGGUUAAGAAAGAAGAGCAAGUAACACCUAAUGCGUUGGCGUGGCUCUCGUCCCGUCUCCUAAUGGUAAGAUGCAUACAUAGCACAUAGAUUAUUCAUAUCAUACGCUUAUCCUUAAAUCCGCUCCACUUAUGCAUCUAGCCAUUUAGCUCUCAUCCUUUUUCUUUUCUUUUCUUUUUGGAUUAAGUGGGAUUUGAGUUCUAUAAUUUCAUCAAUUUUAAGAAACAUUGACAAGAUUUAAAAUAAUAUAUUUAAAAAAAAUUAUAGAUGAAUAAGAAAUUAAUCUUAACAAAUUUAAAUAAAAUUAAUUUCAAUUUGAAAGAUUAUAUGCUUUUAUAAUUUAUAUAGUAAGAAGUUUAACGUUUAAAUUGACUUAUAAAGCACAAAAGCUUUUAGACAAGAGAGACUCGAGACAAUGUAGAUUUUGAGCUUAAAUUAAGCGCUCGACAAGGCUUGAGUUAAUUAUGAUUUUUAAUUGAGUAUUUCAAAAUUAUUUUUAGUCCUUGAUUUAUAGUGUAAUAUUUUAAGAUAAUGUUGUUUGAAUCUUGAAUAUUAAGAGUGUUUACAAUAAAGACAACAAAUUUCACAUUUAUAAUAAAUGAUUGAAAUCAUUAAUUUAUAGCAACAUAACCUAUUUAUAGCAACAUAACCUGCUUUCUUUAUUCUUUAGGAAGUAGGUAAAUCUAUUUUGUUUAUAUAAAUUAUUAUUUAUUUGAUGCGAAAGACAUCAAUAAAAAAUUAGCUUGAUCAACCAUAAAUCAACCAUCAUUGAUUGACUUUAAUCAACCAAGAUUGACAACAAUCAACAAUGAUAGAUUGACAAUACAUGCUAAGUUUAAAUAGAAUUUGUUAUGUGUUUCAUAAAUCUAUUAAUUCUUCUAAUUAAGAAAUAUCUGCACAUUAAUAAUCAAACUAUAUAAUUUUAACACAGUUUGAAUACUUCUAGAAGCCCUCCUUACCUUUGGGCUUACAGUUUGUAGGGAGGGUGACUGUUCUAUGGUAACAGCUCACAAGAUACAAGUGGUUGGAAAAAAAUUGCAAAAUGCUACGAUCUUCAAAAUUCUACGGCACCUUCCUCUAUAUAUAUUUCACAUCGAACAAGUCUUAAUGUACAUAUUUACGUAAUCAAUCCUCCAUGAAGCAUUGCUGGUUCAACGACCACUGAGGAUUCAUUCAGAGUCGGACAAGGAAUUGGAAGAAAUUCCACCUGAUGAUAUCGGGAUUGUUAAAACUUGCCUGGAAUCAUGGGAUACUUUCUUGAUUGCGACUUGCAUAUUGGAAGAUUGUUGUUGUUAUUGGGACGAUUGUGCAGGCACCACACCUCAUCUUACGCCUCUUUUAUGGACAUGACAAAUGCAGGUGAGCCAUAAAUGCCUUUCCCUUAAUAGAAGAAUGUAGUAGCAGUGCAAAACCCUAUCUCACUGCCAUCUAAACCAGUCGUUGGCAAAUUCAACAGCAUUGAAGCAUCUAGAAGCUUCGAUGUCGAAGGAAGAGGACCUGAAACAAAAAUAGAGGUAAAACCUUGGAUCAUGAAGUGAAAAGCCCACGACUCAAAAUCUCUUCUUUUGUUUGAAACUGAAAGACCUCCUGCCUUCUCUUUUCUUGUCUUCUUCGGCUUUGCAACUUGCGGUUCGAUUUGAGGUUUUAGUUCUUGAGAAUGCGUCGCGAAAGAGAUAAUAAAAUGGAUCUUAUGGCCUACAAAUAAACAAGGGGUCUUGGAGGCGAUGAUGGAAGAAUGGGCCAUGAUUUGGUACUAAAACGGAAUUUUGCAUUUUGAAUGAGAAUUAGAGCCCUAAUGAUGAUUGUUCUGAUGAUGUGUGCAUAUUAGCAUUUUGUUAAUUUGAUGCAUCCAAUUUUUAGUUAAAUAAAAUAUAAUUACAACUUAUAAUACUUUAAUUUUUGUAUUAAUUUGAAGUAUUAUAAACUUAUAAAAUUUAGGGUAACUUUUUAAAUUUUUUACAUAAUCCAAUCCAGUAACUCGGGUAAAAUUAAGGAAAUCCAAACCCAUUUUCAGUUUUAACCCAGUAAUUUUUACUUAAGCUACAACACUUAAGAAUUAGUAAUUACUAGUUAGGUGGCUCGUGUUAUGUCGCAGACUCACCUAUUAUUUUAAUAAAAAAAUAUCAUAAAAAUCUAAGACCUAAAAUGUUAGGUGUGGCUGUAACAUUGGAUCCAAGAGCGUUGAGUUUGAUUGCAAUGCAAAACACAACAACAACAACAACAACAACAAUAAUAAUAUAAAAAAAUAUAUUUAGAAACCUAAGACUCAAGAACCUUAGGUUCUGAUGUAGGACCCAAGAGCUUUGGUCUUGACAUAGCCCAAGAAAAUUGGGUUGUGACUCAAAACCUAGGACCCAUUAGCCUUGAAUCCUGACGUAGAACCCAAUAGAUUGAGUUCUGACAAGAGACCAAUAAUAUUGGGUCUGGCGGGGCUCCAGACCCAAGGGAUUUGGGUCUGUUCCAUAGCCACACCCAAGGGAUUCACGAGAGACCAAUAAUAUUAUGUCAGACGGGGCUCCAAACCCAAGGUAUUUAGGUCUACUCUAUAGCCACACCCAAGGGAGCUUGGGUGUGGCCCCCUUUUCCUGCUCCAAAAUUCUUGGGUCUGGAAAAGAUUGCUUGAACCAAGAGAAAACAAAAAAAAUGAAAAACAAAUUAUUGAUGGGUUUUGCUAUGGAUAGGACUCAUGCUGAUGGGUCCUGCUCGCAACAGGAGCUGAGGCUGAUGGGUCCAGCGACGGUUGGAUCCAAAGCUAUUUUGAGUCCUUCUUAGAGCAGGACCCAACUUAAUAUAUUUUUUUUGGGUGUGGCUGCACAACAAGACUCAUUCUCAAAAUAUUUAAAAAUAAAAUUAAAAAAUACAAAAACAUCAAAUAUUAAUUUGACAUAAAAAACAAUAAAAAAUUUCAGAUUUUUUUCAAAGCUUUUUUAAACGCAAAACUAAACAUGCUUUAAUAAGAAAAUUCAACCCAACUUGAAAUGAAAUUUUUUUUUUAUAUCAUCACCCAACUUUUGUAUAAUAUAAAAAAGUCACAUUAAUUUAUUUCCUCUUUAGUAUGAAAAAAAAUCAAUAAGAGAAAAGAAAAAAAAUUUCAAGAGUGAAAAAAGUAAAAUUGGAAAUAUCUUAAAAUAUAUUUUUUAUUUUUUUAAAAUAUUGUGAUAAUAUUUUUUUUAUUUUUUUAAAUCUAUUUUAUAUAUAAUCACAUCAAAAUAAUAAAAAAACAUCUUAAUAUGAAUUAAAGGAAAAAAAAUAUUAAUUUGAAGUAAAGAAAAAAAUAAAAAAUUGUCAAUUUUUUUUCAAAGCAUUUUUAAAAACCAAAACCAAAACCAAACAUGCUUUAAUAAAGGAAAUUCAACCCCACUUGAAAUGAAAAUAAAUUACCAUCACCCAAUUUUUGCAUAUUAUAAAAAAAAGUCACAUUAAUUUAUUUCCUUUUAUAUUUUUCAAUCUUAAAAAAACGUUUAUGUUUUUCUUUGAUGAAAGUAAUAAUUGUUUUUUAAAAUCUGGUAAUGACAAUAACAACAAUAACAAUAGUAGUAAUAAUUCUUAAUUUUACCAUUCAAAUCAAAUCUAUUAUUGUUUUUCAAUGUUAAUAAUAUUUUCUACAAAUUUAUUAAUUAUUACAUGAAUUAUAUUAAUUAUAAUAAAAUAUAAAUUUAUAAUAAAAAUCAUAGUAUUUUAAUAUUAGUUAUAAAAUAUCAUAAUAUUUAUAUCACAAAUAAUAAUAUUUUUUACUAAUACUUUUAAUUAUAAUAAAAAUGAUGAUGAAGAUAAUGAUAAUUAAUUUUACACUUCAAAUCAAAUCUAUAGUUGUUUUUCAAUAUUAAUAAUUUUUUUCAAAUUUAUUAGUUUUUUUUAUUAAUAAUAUUAAAUAUACUAAAAAUAAUAAUAUUUAUAAUAUGAAUAAUUAUAUUUAGAAAUCUAAGAUCCAAGAUCAUGGGUCCUGAUGCCGGACCCAUUAGCCUUGGGUCCCGACGUCAGACCCAUGAGUCUUGGGUUUUAACACAACCCAAGGGAACUAAGUCCUGAUGCACAACCUAAUAACAUUGCGUUCUGAUAGAAGAUUUAUUAGCCUUGGUUCCCGAUGCUUGACCCAUUAUUAGCCUUAAAUCCUGAUGCACGAUCCAAGUGCAUUAGGUCAUGACAAAGGACCAAUAAUCUAGGGUCAGGCCGGUCUUUAAGACCCAAGGAAUUUGGGUAUGUGCUAGCCACACCUAAGCUCCUUGGGUGAGGCGUCGUUUUCUACCCAAUUUUUUGGGCCUGGAAGAGAAUGUCUGACCCAAGAGGAAAGGAAAGAAAUGAAAACAAUUAUUGAUGUGUCUUGCUAAGAGUGGGACCCAACGCUAAUGGAUCCUGUUAGGGACAAGACCCAAAGCUAUUUUGACUCCUUCUUGGGGCAGGACUCAACUUAAUAUAUUCUCUUGGGUGUGGCUUCGCAACUAAACUCAAUCUCAAUAUAUUUAAAAACAAAUUAAAAACAAUUAUCAUCACCUAACUUUUGUAUAUAUAAAAAAGUCACAUUAAUUUAUUUUCUCUUUACAAUAUGAAAAAAAAUCAAUACAAGAAAAAAAAAUUCAAGAGGGAAAAAAUAAAAUUGGGAAUAUCUUAAAAUAUAUAUAUUUUUAAAAUAUUGAGAUAAUAUUUUUUUUUUACUUAAAUCUAUUUUUAUAUAAUCAAUAAAAUACAAAAACAUCUUAAUAUGAAUUAAAGGAAAAAAAAUUAAUUUGAAGUGAAGAAAAAAAUUAAAAAUUGUCAAUUUUUUAAAACAUUUUUGAAAACCAAAACCAAACAUGUUUUAAUAAGAAAUUCAACCCUUUCUGAAAUGAUAACUAAUAAAUAAUAAUAUAUUUGUAAGACCGAUAUAAAAAAAAUUCUGAAUUUUGACGAAAAAUUACAACCGGCUAAUUUUACGUUGUAACACAACUUUCAACCUGGUCAUCAGAUUAAGUUGAAAUUUUGCAUGGAGUCUUAUAAAUAUUUAACCUAGGUUCAAAUUUAAGAAUUUUUGGAGUAUGAUAAGAAAUUGUUUCAGAUAAAAGAACAAAUGGCACAAAUGAUUGUCUAGAAAUUCCUUAGGGACCAAAUUGAGACUUUGCCCAAAACCAUCCUCUUUACAAGCUGCCAGCAAUUAAAAAAAAGAAAAGGAAAGAGGGAAUGUGCAGCCGGCCAAGGGAAGAAAUGAGAAAAAGAGGGUUUGUGUUAUUUUUUCAUGAAAUUGCUUGAAAAAUCAAAAAAACAAAGUGUAAGAUAGAAAGAGUGUUAAGUAAUUAAAGAGAGGGUUGAUACAUUAAGGAGACUACAAGGAGUUUGAAGAUUUUAGGAGUGGUUUUUAGAGAAAGAAAGAAAAAAUUGAGCUUAGAGGGAAGUGUGAAGGAAAAGAACUUGUUUUGGCUUUGAUUCUUCAUUCCUUAAGGGUAAGAAAACUCUCCAUGAUGGUCCAUUUUAUUGUUUUUCAUGUUUGUUAUUAGAUUGAGUAGAAUUGGUAUUAUGUGAAGGUGGGUUCUUGAUGUUAUGAUGGUUUGAAUGCAUGGAUUUAUGUAAAUUACAUGUUUAAUGAAGGAAUAAAUGUUUGGGCUUGUCAUUAAUUAGGUUAAUUUAAAAAAAAAAAUUUCUUCCUCUUAGUAUUUGGAAUUUCGGCCAAGGGUGUUUUUUUGGGGUGAUUAGGUUGUUGAAUUAAUAACAAACAAAUUAUAUUUAGUUAUGAUAAUUGAGUAUUUGGUGAUUGAAGAAUGGAUAAUAAGAAUAAUUAAUAUGGUUUCCACCUUGGGUAAGCUAGUGAUUCCUUGUUAUGUUAUAAGUAAAUAUGAUAUUUGUGUUGAUUAGUGAAAUUUCAUAAAUGGAUGCUUAGUUAUUGUUAUGUGUGAUUAUGGAACUAUUAGAAAGGUGAAUUUGGCCAUGAAAAAUAUAAGAAAUAAAUUUCAAGCUUGAAGAGAUUAAUGAAUUGUAUUUAAAUAGUGGAAGAAAAAUAAAAAUGAAAUGAUGUGUUGAAUUAGGUGUAACUGAAUUAAAUUUCCUUUGAUUGUAGAGAAAAGUUUUAUAGUGAUAUAAAAUUUCCUUAUAAUUGUGGUGAAUUAAAAGUUUAGGUGGAUGUGUAUUGUAUGAAUUAAUUGUGGAAUUAUUAAAGAACAUGCAAUAGUUUCGAAUGUUAAAAUUAUAUUGAUCGAAAUCUUAUUAUGUGAUAAAGUUUUAAGAAAAUUAUUCGGUGAUGAAAUAUUGAAAUCAUAAGAUCUUUCGAAUGAAACAAGAGAGGUGGGAGGCUCCAGACAGCAGCAGGUAGUUACUAGUCAAGUAUCACCAGCAGGUAGGUAUCUAACAUCUUGAAUUUUUAUAGAUAGAUUAAUUGAAAAACUAGUGUUAAUUUUUAAUUAGAAAUUCUGUAGUUUAUGUUUGAUGUUAACAGAUGAAUUAAUGCCCGGUAAUUGGGUGGAUAAAUUAGUACCGGUAUUUGGGCGGAUAAAUUAAUGCCCGGUAAUUGAGCGUGAAUUAAUGCCCGGUAAUUGGGCGGAUAAAUUAGUACCGGUAUUUGGGCGGAUGAAUUAAUGCCCGGUAAUUGAGUAUGAAUUUAUGCCCGGUAAUUGGGCGGAUAAAUUAGUACCGGUAAUUGGGUUAAUGCCCGGUAAUUGAGCGUGAAUUAAUGCCCGGUAAUUGGGUGGAUAAUCUAGUACCGGUAAUUGAGCGGAUAAAUUAGUACUGGUACUUAAGUGAAUAAAUUAGUGUCCCUGAUGAGGGAGCAAUAUUCCGUGAAACGGCUAAGAUUGGAAUUUAAUGAAAUGAAUAUGGAGGUGUAAGAUAUUAAUGUUUCAUAAUAAAGUAUAUAGAAAAAUAUAUAUAGUUAUAUUUGCAUGGGUAUAGUGAAAUGAUACAUUGCAUUUAUUGAUAAAAUGUUAAUCUUUUUUUUUCAGGACCCUCGCACAGUAGAAUAGAUUUUGCUUGAAUACAUGUUACUUUUGUGUAUUUAUUUUGAUCAACAUGUAUUUUGAGAAUUAUGAAUGAUGUAAAAGAGUUUGAAUGAACCUUUAUAUUUGUAUAACAAACUUUUAUAUGUAAUUAAUGUGUAUGCCAUACUUAAGAAUAUCUUUAUGUUCAAUUAAGUAUUUGUAUUCUAUCAUAGUUGUUCAUUGAUUAGGAAUGUUGGGAUGAUUAAAUAAUGGGGGUGUUACAUUCAUAACCUAAAUUUUUACUAUUUUUUAUAUAAUUAUUAUUAAUUGCAUCUUGAUUAUUGGACAAUACCUGUUUAUUUUUAUUGUGAUGCAUUGUUUGGGAAAGAGGUCCAAGAUGAUUGGAUCAUGAUUAUGAUAUGAGUUGUGACAGGAAUGAAGAUGUCGAUAACUUGGUAUAGUCUCGUUACAAGGAAAACUCUGCCGAUUUUUUUAGAAAAAAAAAAAUUUACACAGCAUAAAAUUUUACACUUUUAAAUAAUAAUAAUAAUUAUUAUUAUUGGGUUGUGACAUUUUGGUAUCAGAGCCAUUUUGAUAUCCUGAUUUAGGUUUAGGAUGUGGAAUAAGAUUUUGAUAGUUAAUGAAUAAUUGUAGGAUGGUUACCACACCAGGGAGCUAGGACUGAACCAUCCCUAGGACGGGGUAAAGGUCAGGAUUUACAGACAGAUGCUGGACAAGGGGAGGAUCCCCUGGCAGAUACUACAUUCUGCACCAGUGAUACAGGUGUCAGGAUUUCAGGGUAUACCGAUAGGAACUGUACCGUUAGAGGGCCAAGGUCAGGGUCAAAGAGUAAUUCCUCCACGUGCCAGAGAUAGUGCCUACUAUCAAUACCUCAUCCACCAGUAACAGUGCCUACUAUUGUCCCAUCACCAUAUGCUGAUCCAGGGUUUUUAGCCCAGAUUGUUAGGGCUGUUAUUGAAAACAUGUCCCAUGUAGCAGCUUCAGCAGCCCCUGUGCCACAGACCACUCCGAUGGCAACGACAUCUACUGACAGUGUUGUUACUGGGAACCGCGAGCGGGUUUGUAGACCCGCUUGCUUGGGUCUACAUCCAUCCCUGGGUAUACAGCCUUUGCACGUGAUUCUGCAAACCUUGGGGCACGGGUGUGCAAACCCGCUCGCCUGGGUCUGCAGUAGCGGGCGUGGCCCAGUCUUAGCGCCAUGUAUUUGCAGCAUGGGGCCUGUAGUUCCACUUGGCGCGAUAGUGCCCAGGGCUUGCCAGCCCAAGCGCCAGGUGUUUGUAGCACGGGAGCUACAACCUCACCAAAACUGUAAUUGACAUAGGGGUGCGGGUCUGCAGCCUAACCAAAAUUGUAGUUGACCCAGGGGAGCGGGUCUGCAGCCUUACCAUGCGUCACCAAAUAGUACAAUCUAUAGUGAAAUCACUCAUAAUCUAUAGUAAUUACCGCUACUAUGCCAAACAAUAUAAUUCAUAAUAAAAGCACUCACAAACCAUAACAAGUUUCGCUGCAGGAAAACAUUAAUUUUAGCCCAUAAUAGGCCAAAGAAAAGCACAGGCUUCUCAAUUGGUUAUUAUUAUUAUUAUUAAAACCUAAUGCUUGCUUUAAGCAAGUUUUGGUCCCAUUUAAGGCGGCUAUUGUUUUUGUGGUGUGAUUUGUUUUUUAAAUGUUUGUUAAACUAAUUUUUUUAGAUUUUGUUUAUAUAAUUUUGAUGUAUUGAUAUAAAAAAGUAUAUAUUUUAAAUUAAAAAUACUUUUGAAAAAUAAUACACUACUCAACAUACACUUAAAAAGAGGACAUACACACGUUCUUUCCUUCAACGUGUAAUUUUUGUGGCACACAACUUUUAGAUAGAAAGAGAAAGAGGAAGUUGAAAGAAGUAUCUAUAAAUUUAAUCUUUAAAAGAUAAAUUAUCAAUAAAUCUUAUUGUGCUAAUUCUUAAGAUCAGUAAAUUUAUUUUUAUAGCUCAUCAUCCAAGAAAGUUCAAAUUUAAUUGUGCUUCAUAUAUUUAAAAAUUACCUCUAAUUAUUUUUUCUUUCAAAAAAUAUUCAUAAUAUCUUUUUUGAAUGUAUGUUUUUCUCAUUUAUAAAACAAUUUAUAAUUAUAAUCUAUUCUUUUUUUAUACUACCAUUAUUAUAAAUUAUUCAAAAUGAAAUUAUGAUUGUAAAAAUAAAAAAAAUAUAAAUUUUCAGAUAUGUAAUUUAAUUUUUAUAAAUAAAAAACUGAAAUAUCUUUAAGCAUAAUGACACGCUUCAAAAAAUUUCAAAGAAUUAUGACAAUUGACAAGAAUAAAAUUUUAUGAUAAUACAUAUUUAAUUUUAAAAAUUUAGAGAAAAAUUAUAAACAGAAUACAUAAUAAAACUUGUCAUUUAAAAAGAAUAAAAAAUAGAAAAACAAAAUAAUCAAAACCAUAGACACAAUUAAUAAAGAUGGGUAGUGGGCAUUCAUGACAAGGCGGAGCUCUGCCAAGAAGGUAUUUGAAAAUAAUAGAGGUUCCUUUAUACAAUAUUUUUUAAUUAAAAAUAUACUAAAAUAAUAUAUUUUUUAUUUUUUUAAAAAUAAUUUAUAAUAAUAGAACAUCAAAAUAAUCCAAAACAUUAAAAAAAAAUUUAAAUAAAUUUUUUUUAAAAAAUACAUUUCCAAAUGCUAUCUAAAUAUUCAACAUUCACGACCAAAGAGCAGGGCAUAGGUGAUUUCAAUUUUAUCAUGGUCAAGUUCUUAUUUUCCUCAUCAAGCACACACCAUUGAGACGGCAUGUAUUGGAUUCCAUAUGCUGCUAUUCGCAUCUCUUCAUCACCUUUUCCAGAUAAAUCCAUGAAAAUUUUGAUUGUUCAUCGUACCGAAAGAGUCCCCAAUGUCUCUCGAAAUGUCCUGGUGCAAUGCUCUUCUGAUUCUUCGAUUAGGCCAAAGAGAUACACAUCCAAUUAACCUCGUCGGACAGGGGUUCCCAUCGUUAAGGAGACCGUGAUGGAACGUUUCAGCUAAUUUGGUGUCGGCAUUGAUGUUACCAUGCAUCUGUAGGCCAGCCAACUUGUCCCAUUAUGAUCUUCAAAUCGCCAGCACUGUUACCAUCUGUAGGCCAAAGAGCUUUAAUUUGACGAAGAAACUUCACAGUGCGAAUCGUGACAUCCUUUAUGUUGUUACGGGUAUUGCCAUCAGGUGGUUUGUUGGAAGAUGAUUCAUGAACAUCAGCAUUAAGGGCUGCUGUAGCUUUUGAUUUUGUCUCCGACUCCAUCAUUGUCCUAAGCCUUAUGUUUAGGAAUCCUGUUAGAGAUAUAUUAGAAUGAAUAACUUAUACAUGAGUUCCCUACUGUAAUAGGACAAUGAAUUCCGAGGAACUGUUGGAUUCCUAGUAGAUGAGAAUAACUGUAUAUACUCUUGUAUAAAUAUACGAUGCAAUCAAUAAUAGUUCCCAUUCAGCAAGUUCUAUUUCUUCUCUUAUUAAUUUACAUGGUAUUCAGAGCUGGACUAAUUAUUCUGUAUCAAUAUUUUCAUCAAUUCUCUGUUUCGCUCCCCCUUCCACAUCAAUCUUUCAUCUUCUCUGUUUCCAUCCUUUAAACCCAGAAAACACAAAACCUUCAGAGCAUGGAUUUUACAAAAGCAAAUCUCUCAAACCCCUUCUUUACUCAUCAUUCAGAUCAUCGUGGACUAAUUUUAAUCUCAAAGCCCUUAAAUGGAGAUAACUACUCUAUGUGGAAAAGAGCAAUGACAUUGGCCUUAAACUCCAAAACCAAAUUGGGCUUUGUCAAUGGCUCGAUCAGAGCUCCCUCAGAAGACAAUGAUCCUAAAGAACAUGCAGCCUGGUCCCGGUGCAAUGACAUGGUUCAUUCUUGGAUUAUUAACACCCUUAAUCUAGAAAUCUCAGAUAGUGUGAUAUAUUAUUCAACUGCUCAUGAAGUUUGGGAAGACCUUCAUGAGCGAUUUUCUCAAAGCAAUGCGCCUCGCAUCUUUGAAAUUUAGCGCGACAUUGCUUGCCUUCGACAAGAGCAGCUAUCAGUUUCUACCUAUUACACAAAAUUGAAGGGGUUGUGGGAUGAACUAGCCUCCUACAAUGACACUGUACAUUGAACGCAGCAAGAACAACAAAAAUUGACGCAGUUUUUGAUGGGAUUAAAUGAAUCUUAUAAUGCCAUACGCGGACAAAUCCUCCUAAUGAAUCCUCUUCCUUCAGUGUGCCAAGCAUAUUCCUCCAUCUCACAAGAAGAAAAACAAUGCCUCCUAAGCUCAAUGUAUACGGGAGGUGAUGAUCCCAGUGGCAGUGCUGCCAUGGCAGUUCGUAAUAGCAACAAUCGAUCAACUGAACAUCUCAGUGCAGGAUUGGGGAGAUUAGAGCGCUUCGACAACUCAUAUAACCCACAAGGAUUCAGGUCACAAGAGAAAUCGACAGGGAAUUUCAGUGGAGAACGACGAUUUUAACAAGAUAGACGACGCCCCAACCUUUGGCAGAGGGCGUCCUUAUUGUACACACUAUGAAGAAGCGGGUCAUUGGGUGCAAACAUGCUAUCAAUUACAUGGGUAUCCAGCGGGUCAUCCAAAGACAAAAUAUGGGUCAGGAUCAAAACGUUUCAAUAACAAUAAACACAUAGCCAAUCAUGUGUCCACAGCCGAAAAUGAGCAACCAGUUAUCGGUAUUUCACAGGAUCAAUUAAAACAGGUUUUGUCACUCCUAGACAAUAAAACUGAAGGUUCUAGUCCUCAUGCGAAUGCCGUAACUAAACCAGGUUUGUCUAAAGUUACUUCCCGCAAUUGGAUCAUCGAUAACGGCGCAACAGAUCAUAUAUCUUCUAAAUUAUUCACUGAGAAGCACACCAAAUGUUCAUUACCACCGGUACUAAUGCCUAGUGGAGAAAAGGCUGACAUUGUGGCAAAGGGAUCUUUACCCAUUAAUUCUGUCUAUUAUUUACACAAUGUGUUGUGUGUCCCUACAUUCAAAGUAGACUUGUUAUCUGUCAGUCGCUUGACAAGAGACCUUAAUUGCUCAAUAAUCUUCUUUCCUUAUUGGUGUCUAUUGCAGGAUCUGGCUACGAGGAGGAUGAUUGGUUUGGGUAAACAACAUAACGGACUUUACUAUUUGGUGGCUUUGGCAACGAAGCAACAUACGUCUCAACAAACCUCCACCAUCAAUCAACCAACCUGCAAUCUCAUCACCUUAUCCACCAACCUUUGGCAUAAUCGCUUAGGCAAUACAUCACCUUCUCGUUUACGCUUCAUUGCUCAAAAUUUUUAAAAUUUUUCCAUUUAGUCCAAUAAUACUUGUCAUGUAUGUCCUUUGGCAAAACAGAGUCGUCUACCUUUCCAUUCUAGUGUAAUUUCUUCUAUAAAACCUUUUGCAUUAAUUCAUUGUGACAUUUGGGGUCCUUAUCGACACCCUUCCAUUUCUGGUGCUCGUUUUUUUCUCACUAUUGUUGAUGAUUUCUCACGUUUCACAUGGAUUUUCUUAAUGAGACAUAAAAGUGAGACGCAAUCCAUUCUAAAUUUUUUUUUUCCAUUACGUUAUCACUCAAUUUGAAGCUCAUAUUAAAAUUUUUCGAAGUGAUAACGGGGGAGAAUUUAUAUCACUUCGCACUUUUUUUCACAAUAAUGGUGUCAUUUUCCAACGUUCUUGUGUUUACACACCUCAACAAAAUGGGGUUGUGGAACGCAAACAUUGUCACAUCCUACAAGUAGCUCGAGCUUUAAGAUUUCAAGCUCACCUCCCCACCCAAUUUUGGGGGGAAUGUGCCCUAACUGCUACUCACAUCAUUAAUCGCUUUCCAUCUCCUGUCCUCUCCUUCAAAACCCCUUUUGAACUUCUCUUUUCCAAAUCACCUUCCUUUUCUCAUCUUCGUGUCUUCGGUUGUUUGGCUUAUGCUACCAAUGUUCGCAUUGCUCAUAAAUUUGCUCCUCGUUCCAUCCCUUCUGUUUUUCUUGGGUAUCCUCCCGGUCAAAAAGCUUAUAAAUUGUUUGAUUUAUCAAACAAAAUUUUUUUUACUAGCCGCGAUGUCAUAUUUCAUGAAAAUAUUUUUCCUUAUGCAUUUACCCAUCACCCUCCUUCCUCUCCACCUUACAUUCCUGGACCCAUUCCCCUAAUCCAUACCGACACCACCUCCUUUCCCUUUCCACCAUCCUCUUCACCACAACCACCCAUGCCUACCCAAAUUCCCUUUCAACAACACACUCUUCCCCACCUCCCACCACUCUACGCACCUACACACGCCGCCCCAAACCCAAUACCCUUGACACUGAUCCCAUUGAUUGCUCCAACACACCUUCCACCACCAUUUCGGCUCAAACACCACCCUCCACUACUUUACCCUCUUUGGAACCAGGUUCCAUUGCGCCAACCCCACUCUCUUUAGACAUCAGCCCACCAAACACACCUACACCCACCCCGCUUCGCCGAUCCAUCCGCCAUACUGGCCCUCCAGUCAAGCUUCGUGAUUAUGUCUGCUCACAUGUUUUCUCCGGCCAAUCACCCUCCUCCCCACCAGGUCUGAACAAAGGUACUCGUUAUCCAUUAUCCAAUUAUGUUUCCUAUCACAUAUAUACAUCUCCACAUCAUUCAUUUAUUGCUAAAAUUAGCCAUACCGUGGAACCAAAAUCCUAUUCAAAAGCAGCUGCUCAUCCUCAGUGGCAGGCCGCCAUGCUCUCUGAACUACAAGCUCUUCAGCAGAAUGGUACUUGGUCACUCACUUCUCUUCCACAAGGUAAAACUUUGAUUGGUUGUCUGAUGGCUCUGUGGAGAGAUACAAAGCCCGUUUGUUGGCUAAGGGUUUCACCCGACUUGAGGGUAUCGACUAUCAGGACACUUUCUCCCCAACUGCCAAAAUUGUUUCUGUCCGUUGCUUGCUUUCUCUGGCUGCAGCUCGCGGUUGGACCCUCCACCAAUUGGAUGUUCACAACGCCUUUCUCCAUGGUGAAUUAUCAGAGGAGAUUUAUAUGUCUCCGCCGCCAGGGCUUCUUCGACAGGGGGAGGAAGACUUGGUAUGCCAUCUCCAUAAGUCCUUAUACGGGUUGAAACAAGCAUCACGCCAAUGGUUCACCAAGUUCUCUGAAGCCAUUUGCUCUGCUGGAUUCAAACAAUCUCAAGCCGACCACUCUCUAUUCACCAGACAACGAGAUAAGUCCUUCACUGCCCUUUUAAUAUAUGUUGAUGACAUUUUGAUUACUGGAAAUGAUCCCGACAGUAUCGCUAUGACAAAGAAAUUUCUGCAUAGCCAUUUCCACCUUAAGGAUCUUGGCCCCUUAAAAUACUUCCUUGGUAUAGAGUUCUUAGCUUCUAAGAACGGCAUUUUCAUUUCUCAAUGUAAAUAUGCAUUGGAAAUUAUUGAGGAUGCAUGAUUGUUGGGUGCGGCCCCUAUUGAUACACCUAUGGAACGUGGCUUAAAAUUAUCGGACAAGAGCGACUUGCUCAAAGAUCCGAGUCGUUUUAGAAGAUUGGUUGGUAGAUUGAUUUAUUUGACUGUUUCAAGACCAGAUAUCACUUAUGUUGUGCAUGUUCUAAGCAAUUUAUGCACCAACCCGGAAGCUUCAUAUGGAAGCUGCUCUUCGGGUCAUCCGAUAUCUGAAAGGGGCACCUGGUCAAGGGUUAUUCUUUCCUUCACACACUAAUUACAAAUUAAAAGCCUAUUCAGACUCAGAUUGGGCAGGUUGCCCACUGACUCGGAGGUCUACCACCGAUUAUUGUGUGUUCCUUGGACCCUCAUUGAUAUCCUGGAGAUCAAAACGACAGAAAACAGUCUCACUAUCCUCUGUAGAGGCAGAGUAUCAUGCAAUGACAAGAGCAUGUUAUGAGUUAACAUGGCUCCGAUGUCUGUUGAGGGAUUUAGGCCUUUUACAUCAUGAACCUGCGUUGCUAUAUUGUGAUAACAAGGCUGCAUUACACAUUGCAGCCAACCCAGUCUUUCAUGAGCGCACCCGACAUUUUGAGAUGGACUGUCACUAUAUCAGAGACAAAAUUCAAGAUGGUUUUGUGAUAACAAGAUAUGUUCAUUCUGAACAUCAAUUGGCAGACAUCUUCACCAAACCCUUUGAAAAAGAUGUCUUCAUUCCUAUGAUUCACAAGUUGGGAGUGCAAGACAUCCACUCUCCAACUUGAGGGGGAGUGUUAGGAAUCCUGUUAGAGAUAUAUUAGGAAUGAAUAACUUAUACAUGAGUUCCCUGGGACAAUGAAUUCCGAGGAAGUGUUGGAUUCCUAGUAAAUGAGAAUAACUGUAUAUACUCUUGUAUAAAUAUACAAUGCAAUCAAUAAUAAUUCUCAUUCCAGCAAGUUCUAUUCUUCUCUUAUCAAUUUACAUUAUGCACGUCUAGAAAUGGUGGAAACGUAAACGUAACAUUGUCGCAAGUGCUCUUAAAAACAUUUAUAAUUAUAAUCUAUUCUUUUUUUAUACUACCAUUAUUAUAAAUUAUUCAAAUGAAAUUAUGAUUGUAAAAAUAAAAAAAAAUAUAAAUUUUCAUAUAUGUAAUUUAAUUUUUAUAAAUAAAAAAUUUAAAUAUCUUUAAGCAUAAUGACACGCUUCAAAAUAUUUCAAAGAAUUAUGACAAUUGACAAGAAUAAAAUUUUAUGAUAAUAAAUAUUUAAUUUUAAAAAUUUGAAGAAAAAUAUAAAAAGAAAACAUAAUGGAACUUGUCAAGAAUAAAAAAUAGAAAAACAAUAUAAUCAAAACCAUAGACACAAUUAAUAAAGAUGGGUAGUGGGCAUGCAUGACAAGGCGGAGCUCUGCCAAGAAGGUAUUUGAAAAUAAUAAAGGUUGUUUUACAAAAUAUUUUUUAAUUAAAAAUAUAUUAAAAUAAUAUAUUUUUUAAUUUUUUUAAAAAUAAUUUAUAAUAAUAGAACAUCAAAAUAAUUCAAAACAUUAAAAAAUUAUUUUAAAUAAUAAAAAUUAAAAAAAAAUACAUUUCCAAAUGCUAUCUAAAUAUUCAACAUUCACGACCAAAGAGCAGGGCAUAGGUGAUUUCAAUUUUAUCAUGGUCAAGUUCUUAUUUUCCUCAUCAAGCACAUACCAUUGAGAUGGCAUGUAUUGGACUCCAUAUGCUGCUAUGAGCAUCUCUUCAUCACCUUUUCCAGAUAAAUCCAUGAAAAUUUUGAAUGUUCAUCGUACCGAAAGAGUCCCCAAUGUCUCUCGAAAUGUCCUGGUGCAAUGCUCUUCUGAUUCUUCGAUUAGGCCAAAGAGAUACACAUCCAAUUAACCUCGUCGGACAGGGGUUCCCUUCUUUAAGGAGACCGUCAUGGAACGUUUUAGCUAAUUUGGUGUCGGCAUUGAUGUUACCAUCUGUAGGCCAGCCAACUUGUCCCAUUAUGAUCUUCAAAUCGCCAGCACUGUUACCAUCUGCAGGCCAAAGAGCUUUAAUUUGACGAAGAAACUUCACAGUGCGAAUCGUGACAUCCUUUAUGUUGUUACGGAUAUUGCCAUCAGGUGGUUUGUUGGAAGAUGAUUCAUGAACAUCAGCAUUAAGGGCUGCUGUAGCUUUGAAUUUGUCUCCGACUCCAUCAUUGUCCUAAGCCUUAUGAACGUCUAGAAAUGGACGUAACAUUAUCGCAAGUGCUUUUAAAACUUGACAAGAAAGGCUCGUUCCCAACAGUCGAAGAGGGGUUAUUGGAAGAUGAUUUGUAAACUUCAGCACUGAGGGCUACUGUAGCUUUGCAUUUGUCUCCGACUUCAACCUUGUCCAAAGCCUUUUGAACGUUUUGCCAAAACUAGCAAUCAGCUGGCGUUUCUUUUAUUAAAAUUCUUUAGUAGUUUUAAAUAGUUUGUUUAAGCAUUUGAUACUAGCAAAAGGGAAAAGAUGGAAUGGGUGGCUUAUCCACGUUGCUGGAACCUCACAAGAUACUACCAAGAAUCUUGGAACUGUUUAAAAGAUUGUGGUUCAAGCUAUUCAUGAGCUCUAUUCAUGAGCUUUGCCUAUCAUCCUCAAUCAGAUGAGCAAUCUGAAAGAGUUAAUCAAUGAACAGAGAAAUACCUAAGAUGUAUGAACACAUCAGUACCAGUAAUUCUCACUUUGAUGGCUAUCCUGCAUCUGUAUCAAGUUCCUUUUGUUUUUGUUUUUUUUUUUUGUCGUAUUUUUCGGGGAGGCUAAUGUCUGUUAAAUCUUUUCACAGCAAGUGAACGUACCCUGUCCCAAGAGGUUGCGCUGCCUCAUCUGCAACAAGCUGUGACCCAAUAACCAGGAGAAAUGAUGGAAGCUUUUUGAUCAGACAUAUCUAGCCAUUUCAUUAGGUAAUUGGGUAUCUACACUCUUUCUGAAAGCAGGGUUAUUAAUAUUGCUGCCUUCUUAUUGCAAAUUUUGUUGCAAUGUUUCUUCUACUUUUUCUUGGCUGGUGUUUUAAUCCCUUUUCAGCCUACAAAGCUGCUGUCUAUAUCUUCUAUCGUCCUUGAACGUGGUUUUUGCAAUCUUGACUGUUUGUAGAAAGAUUAAAACAGUUAUAUGUGUGUAUAACAUCAGCAUCAGAUACAUUAUCACCAUUUUUUUUAUUCCACUACUAGUCUGUGAAUAAACCACCCGGCCAGCAGCCAUAUCACACUGAACUGCACUCUAGUUAGGAUAAUCGAUGAUACUGGGUGUUGGAUUUUCUGUAUUUUAGAAAGUUGACUGAAGCCUAUGCUUUCUGCAGAUCACUAUAUCAGAAGUCAGAAUAGUUCAAUAUGUAAUUAGCCUCCCAUGUAAAAACGAGGCAGGCAUAAGUGAUUAAUCAUUUUAGUCCAUAACAGAAGUAAGUGGAGAGUUUUAUAAAAAACGGAACAAGGACUAAAUGAAUGGAGAAGGAAGAUCUGUGAAACUGAUUCUAACUAGUUUGGGAAUGCGGCAUGUUCGAGUUGAAAUGUGGGGUGGGGUUAGAGCACGGAGGAGAAUGGAAGAAGCUACACGGCCAUCAUUGACCAGCAUUGUUUCAUCAAACAUUUUACUAUUUCAACCAUGUGUUUUGCUUAAAUCAUAAAUUAUACCUAUGUUUCUAUGCUAAUUAAUUAACCCCUCUUGGAGUAGUCUUUGUGGUGCUUUGAGGAUUACUAUGGUAUGCACAAACCUUCUAAGUAUUCCGAUCUACCUUCCUCUUCACCACUAAUAUCAAGCUUGCCACAUGCCAGCUGUUAGUCUUGAGGUUAAAUAAUUUUUACAUCGUUAAGCCAUGAUUCUGUCACAAUUAUCAGAUUUCAAUGUAAAGUUGUUCUCUGUAUUUUCAUACCGAAAGGAAGAAUUCAGUCCUAUAAAUACAUGUAAUAAUCCCUAAUUUCCUGUCUAUAAUCCCUGAUUUGUAGUCUAUAAUAAAUACAAGAUAUUCUGUUACAAUUUGGUUGCCAUAUAUUGUUGAUAUUCUUGCCAUAAUAUACAUUGACAUCCCCCCUCAAAUUGAUGCUGGUCGAUCAAGAAGCAUCAAUUUGUCAAUCAUGAGUUGAUGUCGAGGCUGAGACAAGGCCUUCGUAAAGACAUCAGCUGUCUGAUGCUCGGUGGAAAUAUGAGGUAGUGUAAGAAUAUUAUGAUCAAGAGCUUCACGAAUAUAGUGACAAUCGACUUCAAUAUGUUUGGUGCGUUCAUGAAACACAAGAUUAGUAGCAAUCUGAAUAGCACUUGUGUUAUCAGCAUGAAGAGGUGUAGGAGUGUGCUGAGGAAAACCAAGUUCACGUAGCAAACCCUGGAGCCACACAAUUUCAGAACAUGCGGAGGACAUAGCUCGAUACUCAGAUUCUGUGGAAGAUUUUGAGAUUCGGUCUUGCUUUUUUGCUUUUCCAUGAAAUUAAAGCAUUUCCAAGAAACAUACACCACCCAGUAACAGACCGACGUGUAUCCAUGCACCCUGCCCAAUCUGCAUCACUAUAACCUGUUAAUUGUAAUGAAUUAUCAUCAGGAAAAAAUAAUCCUCGCCCAGAUGUGCCUUUAAGAUAGCGAAGAAUUCUUCAAACAACAGCUAAAUGAGGUUGACGAGGAGCUUGUAGAAACUGACUGACUUGUUGUACUGCAAAAGAAAUAUCUGGCCGAGUAAUGGUUAGAUAAUUCAAACUGCCCACCAAUUGCCUAUAUAUGGAGGGAUCAGGUAACAGGUCACCAUCAUUCUGACAAAGUUUUAAAUUAAUCUCAAGAGGUGUAAGAAUGCUAUUCCCUGAUUCAAGACCGCCCAAGAGAAGAAUCUCUUGGGUGUAUUUGUGCUGAUGUAGAGAAAUCCCAUUAGACAUAGAGUGCACCUGGAGACCAAGGAAAUAGUGAAGGUGUCCCAGAUCCUUCAUAUAAAAUUCACUGUUAAUAGAACGCUGUAAAUCCUCAAUGAGUGGAAUGUCAGAUCCUGUAAUGAUAAUAUCAUCCACAUAUACCAGAAGAGCAACAAUACCAGUAGUAGUUUGCUGAAGAAAUAGAGAGGAAUCAUAUUGGCUCUGAAUAAAUUUAAGUUUCAGAAGAGUAGUGCGAAAUUUUUCAAACCAUGCCCGGGGUGCCUGUUUUAGACCAUACAGGGACCGUUUCAACCAGCAGACUUUAUCAGAUGGGUGAGUAAACAUACCAGGAGGAGGAGUAUAUAAAUAUUCUCUUUCAAAUCUCCAUGUAAAAAUGCAUUUUUUACAUCCAUUUGACGAAGUGGCCAUCUCUUGGAAGCAACAAUUGCCAUAAUGGUGCGUAUGGUAGUCAUUUUAGCCACAGGUGCAAAUGUCUCCUCAUAAUUAAUACCAUAUGCCUGACAAUUUCCAAGAGCCACCAACCGUGCUUUAUAUCGUUCCACAAUCCAUCAGGUUGGAAUUUAAUAGUGUAUACCCAUUUGCAGCCAAUAGGUUUAAUACCGGUAGGACAAGAAACAAUAUCCCAUGUGUGAUUAUCCUGAAGAGCCUGAAGUUCCUCUUUCAUGGCCUGUUGCCAACAUUCUUGGGUACAAGCCUGCGCAUAAGUCUUAGGCACAAAAGUACUAUCAAUAGUGGUUGCUGAGUAUCCAUACCUGUUUGGGGCACGUGAAACUCUAGUUGAUCGUCUUAGUUGAGGGGAAUGAUCAGAUGUCGGUUCCGUGUCCGGAAGGGGCAAAGUGGAUGGUGGAUGACGUCUUUGAUAUACAAUUCCUGGCUUAAAACGUUCAAAGAUAUAAGAUGGACUAUCAUCAUCAAAUGUGGGAAGCUGGAUAGGAGUGGAGUCUGUAGAGGGACAAGAAGGGAAAAAAUUCUGAUUUUCAAAGAAAAUCACAUUUCGAGAGAUAUGAAUUUUAUGAGCAUUUGCAUCAUAACAUACAAACCCUUUAUGAGAAUUACUAUAUCCUAGAAAAGCACAACGAGCAGUUUGGGCUGAGAGUUUAUUACGUUCAGUAAAUGGUAAGUGAACAAAACAAACACACCCAAAAACAUGGAGAGAAUCAUACUCAGGAAGAACACCAAAUAAAAUAGAGUAUGGAGAUGCAAAGUUUAGAACUUGAGAAGGCAAACGAUUGAUUAGAUGAACGGCUGUUGAUAGAGCUUCUACCCAAAAUCGAGUAGGUACUGAAGAAUCAAUUAAUAAAGUGCGAACAACAUCUAAAAGAUGACGAUUCUUACGCUCAGCAAGUCCAUUUUGUUGAGGAGUGUAAGGACAAGAUCUUUGAGAGAGAAUCCCUUUGUUUUUGAGAUAUUCCUGAAAUUCUUUGGACACAUAUUCCCCCCCGGAGUCAGAACGAAGUAUUUUAAUAUGAGCAGAAAAUUGAUUUUCAACAAAUACUAUGAAAGUCUGAAAUGUUGAGAAUACAUCAGCUUUAGAUCGGAGAAAAUAUAUCCAAGUGAAACGACUGAAAUCAUCAAUAAACGUGACAAAAUAUUUAUACUGAGCAUGAGAGAUAACAGGGCUUAUACCCCAUACAUCAGUAUGAAUAAUUUCAAAACAUUUAGAAGCACGACUACCAUGUGAAGGAAAUGAUAAUGCUUUGCUUUUACCCAAUUUGCAAGAACUACAGUCCAAAAAUUCUGUGGAAAAAGAAUUUUUAUUCCCCAAAUAUCCAUGUUUCAUAAGAUGAGUCAAUACAUUAGAAUUGGGAUGCCCCAAUUUCUUAUGCCAAAAAUGAGGAUUAUUAAUGACAGUAGAAUAAGCACAAGAAUUAAUACUAGGAAUAGAAAAUUGUAUUGGAAAUAAACGUCCCACUUUAGGCCCCUUCGCGAUCACCUUCCCCGACACUUGAUCCUGCACACAACAACCAUGACGAUUAAAGAGAAUUUCACAGUUAUUUUCUACCAUUUGACCAACAGAGAGUAAACUUGUUGAUAAUUUCGGUGACACAAAAAUAUUGUUGAAAUAAGACCCCAAAUUACCAAUCGAUAAAAUCGGCAGAUUAUCACCAUUUGCUACUUGUAUAUGUUGAUUACCCAUGUAUUUUCGCACAUUACACAACCCAUUUUCACUGCUGGUCAUGUGAUUCGACGCUGCCGAAUCCAUUAACCAUGGUUUAUUAUAUGCCGAAUCCAAAGAAAAGUUAAGUUUAUUACCAGAAAUCCCAAGUGCAGAGAAGGCAGAGAUGAUCAUCUGCUGCACCAUCUCGGGAGUGAUAGUGCCUGACGAAGAGCUCACCGACGAUGAAGAUUCUGGUGCCAACGGUAAGGACACGACUGUGGCAGCCAUAGAAGUAGCCCCCAAUUUUGACUGCACAGUAAACCCUUGUCGAUUCUGUGGUUGCAGACGACAUUCCCUGAUUACAUGCCCCUCCUUCUUACAAUAAUUACAGAAUUUCUUACUGCAAUUUCUGGCAAUGUGCCCUAAUUCCUUGCAAUUAAAACACUGCACACUCCCACCCCUCUGUCGUCCCCUUUCUUGAGCCAUGUAAGCCACAUUUAUCUCCGUGACAGUGUCCUGAGUCAACUCGUGUUGAGUGGCGAGUCGUUGUUCUUCCCGUAACAGUUCCCCCAAACAUUCAUCCAAGGUGGGUACUGGACUUCGGUUGAUCAAGCUAGCUCUCACGGCCUCAAAUUUUGGCCGGAGCUUCAUCAAGAACUGGUCCCUCUGGCUCUCGGCAUAAACAAGGUAUAGUGCUUCUAAACUCUCCUUCGGUAUUUUAGAGUAAAUUAUGCCAGUAUAUUCACUCCAUAGGUUUAGAAAUCCAGAAUAGAAUUGUUCAAUUGAGAGAUUACCUUGUUUGUAAUUGGCAAUACCCAUUUCGACCUGAAAUUUUUGAGCCGAAUUGUUCUGGGAAUAAAUGCGUCUGAAGUAGUCCCAAAUCUCAUUCCCUGUGCCAAACGAUCGAAGAUUGUUGAUCAUAUGGGGUUCAACAGACCCCAGUAUCCAGGAGACAAUUUUCGCAUCCUUGGUAGUCCAUAUACUCAGCUCCUGUGGUUCGGUUGGUGCUGGUGAAGAUCCAUCAAGAUGCCCCCAUAAUUCCUUCCCUUUAACAAACAUACGAAACUGAAACUCCCAACUAUCAUAGUUUUUGCUAUUGAAUCGAGUAAGAAAAGCCUCUCCAGACAUCCUAGGAAUCCCAAAAAAAAUAUCACCAAAUACUGAUGAAUUCAGUCUCUAUAGACUUAAGAAAAGAACAAAGAUCUAGAUCAGAGAAUAACCGGCUCUGAUACCAUGUCACAAUUAUCAGAUUUCAAUGUAAAGUUGUUCUCUGUAUUUUCAUUGAUACCGAAAAGAAGAAUUCAGUCCUAUAAAUACAUGUAAUAAUCCCUAAUUUCCUGUCUAUAAUCCCUGAUUUGUAGUCUAUAAUAAAUACAAUAAAUAAAAGAUAUUCUGUUACAAUUUGGUUGUCAUAUAUUGUUGAUAUUCUUGCCAUAAUAUACAUUGACAGAUUCAACGACCACGGCUGAGGAUUGAGUCGGUACUAGAGAAGGAAGGAGCAGAGUAAUCAUUAGAUCUAUGGAAAGACAAGUUGAAAUCCCCAUGACUAACUGGCAUCAAACCUAUGCUAGCACCAUCAAGCGGCAUCUCUGGCAAGCUAGCAUUCCCAUCCAGAUAUUGCGCAAUUUGCCUCAUGCUUGGCCUAGCUUGUGGUGUAGAGAAAGAACAAAGCAGACCUAGCUUCAAAACCAAUUCCAUUUCCUCCACCACGUAAUUACCUUCCAAUUUUGGAUCAACCGUUCGAAGAAUGUCUCCUAUUUUCCAGGAAUCAAGAACCCAGUCAACCAAAAUCAUCUUUUCUGCUGAUUGUUCUGGCUCUAAAGGUUUCCUUCCACAAGCCAUUUCAAGCAUAAAAGUGCCAAAAGCAUAAACAUCACUGCUGGUAGUGGUCCUUCCUGUUCUAGUAACCUCUGGCGCAAUAUAUCCAACUGUUCCAACCACACAGGUUGUUUGAGGAUUGGCCCCGCGAUCAUAGAAUUUAGCAAGCCCAAAAUCUCCUAGUCGACCAUUGAAAUCAUCAUCUAACAGUAUAUUGCUAGCUUUCACAUCUCUAUGCAGAACAACCUGUUCCCACUCUUCAUGGAGGUAAAAAAGGGCAGACGCAACUCCUCUGAGGACCUGAUAUCGCCGAACCCAAUUAAGGCUGGGUGUGUCAUUGCGAAAUAGGAGUUUAUCAAGGCUUCCAUGGGGCAUGUAAUCAUAGACCAAGAGGAGCUCUCCCUUUCUCCGGCAAUAGCCUAGGAGCUGGACCAAGUUCCUGUGCCUCAGCCUUCCCAUGCUAGCAAUCUCAGCAACAAACUGCUUAGUUCCUUGUUUGGAAUCAUGGGAUACUUUCUUGAUCGCGACUUGCAUAUUGGAAGAAGGCAAUACUCCUCUGUAAACCUUUCCAAAACCACCACUUCCCAGCAACUUUCUGUCUGUGAAACCUGUAGUUGCUUUGUAUAAAUCCUUGUAGGAGAAUCUUUGAGGACCAUACUCCUGUUCCCAAUCUUCGCGCAGUUCUUCAUAUUUCUUCCUCCUUAUUAUACAGGCAGCACCAGAGAUUGCUACCAGCAAAAUGAUUGCUGUUAUUGUUGGGGCCAGAAUUCUUAAAUAUGGUUUCUUUCUUGAUUUUCUUUGAGGGGGAAGUGAAGGCAACUUUGACACGUCAAGACUUUGAGCUUGUCCGCCUCUGUUGAAGCUCCACCCCAGAAUAUAGUGGCUGCUAGCCACUGCUCCAGUAGAUGAAGAAAAACCAACGUACAUAGAAUCCAACAUAACAGAAGAAAGAUCGAGAGGUGUUGACAAAAGAGGCAAGGUUGGUUUUGUUCUUGUGACAGGAGCAACUGUAACAUUGAGUAGCUUCUCGACUUCAUCAUAAUCUAUCCACACGUGCAUCACAUGACCACUUAUGAGAGACAAGCUCUUAUUCUCCUUUUCCUCAUCUGAAAAGUAGGUCACCGGAGCAGAUUCAAUGGAUAUCAAGCUGUUUACAUCAAUUCCAACGUGGCUGUCAUUGAUGUCUUUAAUAUCCGGGCUUGGAACUGCAUCCAGCUCAACUGCCACUAGAUGGUUUGAAGGUAGGCCUUUGCUUGUAGAAUUGAGGAUUCCAAAGUACUGAGUUGCCAUAGCCCCUGUGAAGUCCACAGAUGGAGAGAUUGUGAAGGCCAUGCCAUGGCCACCAAGUGUAGGCUGCUCCGGGACCAUGGCAAACGCAAACUGGGUAGAGAACGAGAGAGACCGAGAAUUGUUGAAUAAAGAUGUGUUGAACUGAAAAGGGAAUGGGAAGAAAGCACGGCCAAUUUGCUGUUUUGAAGUGUUUGUCAGCUCUAAGACCAUUUGGAUGGAUUUUUGCAAUCCCGCUGAGGAGCAGGUCGGCUCCAGUGAAGCCAUGAUAGAUGAAGUGGUUUUCCUCUUGAGCUAAGGCCAAGAGCUUCAAGGAAACAAACAGGCCGAGUAGAAAGUGCAAUGAUUUGAACGAUGCAAUCAUCAUAAGAACGUGCAGAAGAUUGUUUUUGCUUCUUCAGUUACACAUUGGUAAAAGAACAAACUUUUUUCGCUUCGAGUUUCUCCUUAUUUGUUGUUACAGUUUCAAAUCCUCAGUCUAAAGACUGAAUUAUAAACAAGUCUCGUCACAUUGCUAUGACUUGGGCGCAUUCGAACCUUCUCCAGAGCUUUUUCUUGGAAAAAACGUAGGGAAAACUACUUUUCGACCAAUAUAAGCUUGAAGUUUCAACACCGCCUUGAAAGCUAAUAUUAAUCAAGGAGUUGGAAUUAAAAAAAGAAAAAGAAGUUGUUAGCACCAAAUCUUAGGUUGGUUGACUACAAGCGUAACCAAGACGUAAAGGGCUGUCAAGACAAUUUCAACACCGCCUUGAAAUCCACUAUUAAUCAAGGAGUCGGAAUUAAAAAAAACAAAGAAGAAGUUGUUAGCACCAAAUCUUAGGUUGGUUGACUACAAGUGUUACCCAAAUGUAAAGGGGUUGUCAAGACAAUUUCAACACCGCCUUGAAAGCCACUAUUAAUCAAGGAGUCGGAAUAAAAAAAGAAGAAGAAAAAGUUCUUAGCACCAAACCUUAAGUUGGUUGACCAUAAAAGUAACUUAGAUGUAAAGGGGUUACCAAGACAAAAUCAACACCGCCUUGAAAUCUACUAUUUAAAUAACCACAUAAAUAGCACAAGAAAAGCCCAUGUGCCAGGUUUUUUUAUAUAUAAAUAUAUUUAUUAAAUAAUCAAAUUGCUUGUAAAUCAAUUUUAUUAUAAUAAUAAAAAAACCAGUUUGAAAAAAUAGAAAAGCUCCUGAAUAUAAGUUAAUUGUUUUUGCUUGUAAGUGUACAUCAGUCUUUUACAACGUUUAAGAAAGUCUUAAGGACAAAUAAGCUCUUGAAAACCAGUUGAAUAGCUUUAAGGGAUUUUUUUUUUGUCAUUUUAAAGUGAAAAAAAAUAACAUGCGAAUAACUUUUUGCUCUUGAUUAAUUUGGAUCCCGUGAAAAGACUAAAUUGACCUCAAUAUUUCAGUGCAAGGGCAAAUCUACAAACGCCCCAUUCCAAUGAAUAAACUUAUAAGUCAGGUAUGUGUCUGAGAUUUAUUUAUUUAUUUAUAAUUUAAUUUAAUUUAAAGGGUGAAAAAUCCAUUUCAACGACGUUAUUCCUGGGUGGCCAUCUUUGACUCUAUGCACUAUGCAGAAGAACGAUACAAUCUUAGAAAAAUCACUGCGCCUUGAUAGCUAACUGAAAAUGACAAUUCUGUAUAUGAUUCUUGCGAUCCACUCAGAGAUUCUUUUAUUUUUAAUGUUUUAAAAAUAUUUUAAAAAUAUUUAUUAUUUAUUAUUAUUUUUAUUUCAAAUUAAUAUUUUUAUGGUGUUUCUAGAAUAUUUUAAUGUAUUGAUAUUAAAAAUAUUUUUUUAAAAAUAAAAAAUUAUUAUUUUAAUAUAUUUUUUUAAAAAAAUUCAAAAAAAUAACAGCUAUUCUCCUUUUCAAGUCCCUUUAAAAUAAAAUAGUAAUAAAUGAAUAUAAUAAAUAAUAGAAUUCAAAUACGUCAUGUCAUGUCAUGCGAUGCCAUGCCGUAGCCGAUACAUAAACUUUAGGUGGACACCUCAUGCGUUGGCGUGGCUCUCGUCUCGUCUCCUAAUGAAAGAUGCUGCUUAUCCUUAACCCUCUACACUUAUGCCUACCCAUUUAGCUCUCGUCUUUUUUCUAUUUCUAUCGUUUUUUUUUCUUUUUUGAUUAAGUAAUAAUUGAGUGCUAUAAUCUUAUCCAUUUUAAGAAACAAUGACAAGAUUUAUGGAAUCAUUUGAAUUCAAGUACAAGAGAAUCAGAAUAAUAAAUAACCCGACAAUAUUGAUAUCAAACCAUAUAGAGAUUAACUAUAUAAAUUAAUAAUAAUAAUAAUAAUAAAGAGUCAAAGAGAAUUGUCAAAUAUGAUAUUAAUGUAAGGAUAAAAACAAAGAUAAAACAAUUAUUAAGGUUGGAGGAUCCACUAAUAGUAUUAGAGAUAAGUAAAGUAUAAACUCUUUAUAAAUUAUUAUCAUGAUCAUAUUAAUCAUCUUAUUUACAUGAUACAUAUAAAUUUUAUCAAGUAUUUAUGAUGCUAACUUAUGUUGACAACAAAUCAAGUUUCUUUCAUAACAACAAUGUCAGCUGAAGACUAUGAAUGAUCAAGCAUUUAAUGUACCAAGUGUUAUAUAACACAAAUUUAGAUUAACCAUUUAAUAAGCAAGGUAUUAAGGAUUGAUAAAAUAAAAAGAUAAAACAUGUCAAUAUUAAAUUUUCUUGGAUAUAAGCAUUUAAGUUCAUAUUGAGUUUAUAUUAUACUUAUUUUAACAUCAUUAGUGAAACCUUUUCACCUUGACAUGAUAAACUUAGCUAAACAUUAUGAAGAAUAAGAACAUAAAUAAACAAGAUAAGAACAUAGUUAACUAAGUAUAGUAGAUGAUGUUGUUACCCAAUUUUUUGACCCACCUUUUUAAUAAAUUUUUCAAAAAAAUCCAAAAAUAGUGAAAAACAACAAAAAUCCAAAAAAAUAUGUUUUUAUUAUAUUUGCAAUGUUUUUAGCAUUUUCAACGUCUUUUAAAAAGAAUUUUAAUUUUCAAUUGUUUUUUCGAACGCGUUCGACUUUUCACGCGUCAUUUUAAAAUCGUAAUUUUUCUCAUAGAAUUGACGUUGAUUUUGCUCUUUUUUAAAAAUACAAGAAAAAAAAUAAGAAAAAUCAAAAUUUACAAAAAAAAAUUGAGGGACCAAUUUGGAGGUUUGAACAAACUUUUACCUAUAAAUAUAGGUUGAAAACUCAAUAUCUAGAGGGGGGGUCAUUUAUGUAAUUUUGGUGAGAGGAACCAAAAACACAAAAAAAGAAACCCUAACAUAUUUUCUUCUCCCUCACCGAUCCGGAGCCGCCCUCCCCGGGUUCGAAUUUUUUUCGGUCCUCACUUUUCCUCUGGUCAUCAGCUCUCAACCUUCCCCACCUUUGCAAAAGAGAAGAGAAGCCGCAUCCCCUCCAUCAUCCAUUUCUCUUUCGCCACCAGAGAACCAGCCGCCGCCGAUCUCCCUUCCUCAUCCCCACAGACCGGACCCGGCAUCUCCCUCAGCCUAAACAAAUCCGCCGUCCCCUGUUCCCCUGAUUUUUCCUUCUCCCAGCACAAAGCAGCCCCCGGUUGAUUCCUCUUCUUCCCUGCUCACCGACCACCAGGAGUCGCCCCCGUCACCGAGAGUGCCGCCUUCCAGCCCGCAGCAAAGCUUCCUUCAUCGGCGCAGAUCGGCCUCCAGCAGCAACCCCGCUGUCUUCUUCACCUUCGUCCGAUCAGCCUUGCAGCGGCGUCUCCUCCACAGAAGCAAGCCACUGCCACCGCCUCCGCCUGCUUCUUCAUGACCAGCCGAACACAGCGGCGCCCACAGACCCAUCGCCGGAUCUGUAACCAGCGAAGGAAGAGAAACAGAGCUGGAAGAGAGAAGCAGAUUUGAAAAAACAAAAAAAAAAACAAAGAACAAAAAUUAAAAUCGACUGGUGUGCGUUCUUUGCUUGAUCUGCAGGUCGGCGCCGGCGAGGAAAGAAAGGGGGAGGAGGUCGUUGCAGACCCCCCCUGUUUCGGGUUGUUUUCACGGCGGCGCGUGGUCCCACGCGCCGCCAGUGGCGGUGGUGCGUGGAUCUCACGCGCCACCGCUGUUUCAGCCCUCAAAACUCUGCUGAACACUGUUCCGGCAACUCCAGAAGUCCAUUCGCCACUGUUCUGAAUAGUUUUAGAUUGUUUUGUAAUUUUCAUUGUAAUAUUUGGUUAGUUUUGUUUUUUUUUUAUAGCUUGUAUUUAAUGUAAAUGUGGAUGUAAAAGAAAAGAAAAGAAAGAGAAAGUGAUAAUAAUAAUAAAAAAAAGAAAUGUUUGUGUGUCUUUGUAUUUUUUUUUAUGUAUGUUAUUGAAUAAUAAUAAAAAAAGGAAUUUAAUUUAUAUGCAUAAAUAUCUAAAGGACAGAUAAAAAUCAUGUUGAAUUUUCCAUGAAAAUGUAGAACAUGUAUCUACAUAUAGUCUGGAAAAGUAAUAACUGAUUUAUCAAAGCCUUAGAAUUGGGCUAAAAUUUUAUUUUUAAUAUCACGUCAAGUCCACGAAGCUUGAAAGUGAAUGUGGUGUGUAUUUUUGUUUAUGAAUUUUUUUUUUAUGAUAAAAUUGCAGGAAUAAAGAAGAAUUUAAUAUUCCGAUUUAAUCACGGAUAAAGAAUCAUGAACUUACAUGUAAGUUGUAUUUUCUAAAAUUCGAUGAAAGAACAUAAUUUUUAAAACUUCUUUAACACAUCAAGUCCACAAAGCAGCUUACCUCAGGUAGGGUGCGUUAGGGGUGCUAAUACCUUCCCUAACCACAACCAGUCCCUUACCCGCGAUCUCUGACAAGACCAGUACAUCAGGUUUCCUAGUAGCCCUCAAUGAAUUACUAGGUGGCGACUCCAAAGAACCAAAUCAGCAAAACUGAACGAAUAAUCGCCAGCCGAUGCCGCGCGCUUUGAUUUUUUUGGGGUGCGACAGAAUGGCGACUCCAUUGGGGAAGGUAUUGUUUUCAACAUUAUUGGACUAAGCUUUGCAUAUUUGAUGUGUUUAUGUUUUUGCAUUUUUGUCUUAUUUUAUUUUUGUUUUACCCAUGCAUUUUGUAGAAUUGUCUCAUGCAUCACAUAAUGUAAUUUUUUAAAGCACACACAAGCUUCAGGUUAGGAGGGGGACUAACAGCUUACCUUACGACUUUUAGUCAAGAUGUAAGUUUGUGUAAACCCCAACUCUUCGUUGAGUGCUUAGACUGGUAAUAGUUGGACACGUGCCAUCUCAUUGCCUACAAGCCCCUAUAUUGCCUCCACGAGGGCGAUCACUGGGACAACGAGAGCCCCUUUUUAGAGACCAAAUAGUAAACCUACCCUUUGUCUCACUUAAAAAGAUUAGAACCUGCCUUUAGGAUGUAUGCUCCGUAGAUAUUGUUUUACAUCCGAGCAAGCCCUUCUUGAAGCAUCUUGAACUCCAGACUUAUGGGUGACACAAUGACCGUCGCUCAGAAAAUUUUCAUUGUAGAGUUUGUGCAAGAAUCAAGAUUCUUGUUUCAUCAUACAAGAGUUGCGACCAUAUGUCACCCCUCGAAGGGCGAGUUCGUCAUAUAGAUUACAUAUUCAUACAUUUAUCAUGCAUGUACCGGGUUGAAAGGUAGGUCCCCCGCACAAGCUGUGCUGCACAUGAUUGAAGAAAGAUGAUAAAGGUGAAGAAAAGUGUUAGAUAGAGGCUCAUUAUCAGAUUGAGGUUGAGAGCAUCAAAGGUGAAGUAGCUAGACUCAGAUCUGCUCGAACAAGUGUUGAGCAUCAAAUGGAAAGAGAAUGUCUGCACAGUCUUCUGUGGGAACACUGCUUGUCCAUGUCCAAUUGAAGCUGCCUCUCCUUUUCAGUCAUGAACAACAACAACAAUGCCUUCAGUCAUCAACUAAUGACAACUCUAGUUCUUGUCCAGUUGCGCUGUUAAGUGUUCAUCGCCUCCACAUCAUCUAAUGGAACCAAACAACUACUAGCCUCUUGUACAUGGUGCAUUAGUCUGCUUUGAAGUUACCCUAAUUAUGAGCUCAAUUUCAGUCAGCAGCACAAGAUGUUGGUCUGAAAAACCAUGAUCAGACACUGAACUUCUACGUGGUAGAGCUCUCUGUGUAGAGAUUUAUUUGUGGAUCUGCCAAUGGGAAAUGCAAAAGGGGAUGUAUUAAUUUCAUAUGCUUUGAAAUUUUUUUCCUACCAGUGGCACGAGCAAAACAUUGUACUAGGCAGAGGAGUCAGGCCUGGUCUGAAAAUAUGAGUAGUCGUCGAACUUCAACGUGGCAGAGCUCUCUCUACAAAAAUCUGUUUAUGAUGCUGCAAGUUGAGAGUGCAAGAGAGGAUCUACUAAUUGCAUAUGCUACAAAUAUUUCUCAUCAGUUUCAGCACGAAGAAAUUAACUGUAGCAGGUUGAAGAGCCAGAUUUGGUUUGAAAAACAUUGAGCAGACAUUGAACUUCAACAUUGCAGAGAUCUCUCGGCAGGAAUCUAUUUGUGGAUCUGUAAAUGGGAAAUCCAAGAAGGAAUACAGUAGUUUCAGAUCAUCUAUGAUUUUCCUCCAACAGUGCCAGUAUUUAAAAUACAAAAGUAGAAAGAAGAGACAUGCCUCGACUGAAAAACAUGAAGAAGACUGAAACUUCAACAGAGCAGAACUUCCUCUAUUGGUGCUUGUUUGCUGCACCGUUCGAGAGGAAUCAAAGAAGAAAUAGAGGAGAUUCAUGUCCAUCAUCUUCUCCCAUAGAAGAGAUAAGGCAUGAUUCCACGUGUCAGUAGUGGCGAUACUACAAGUUUUUGGGCACUGCUAAGAUUACCAAGCUGUUGAAAAGUUUUCUAACAAUCCUCAACCAACCACAACAACAUUGGAAGGUUGAGAUGAUGCUGUGAGGAUUUGCCGAAGAUUUGAACAAGCUAUGAAGAGAGGAAAGAUUGAAGGAUCUGCCAAGGAUUCUAGAACAAUGAUGAGAGAUGAAUCAAAAGAAGACUCUGACGGUGGGAAAUCUUAAUUAUGUGGUCUAGCCAAGUCUCGUUGUAUCAUCGACUACUUCGAUGUCUUUGCCAAAGAUAGACAUUCAUUUGCCAUGUGGUAUUAAUCCAAACAAGAGAUGUGAUGUCAUGGUGGGGUCCUCAACAGUUGCAAGAAUUUCAAGAAGCGAGUCUCAAAGUUGGUGAGCAAGGGACAAGUGGAGCUUGCAAAGGAGGGUGUCAUUAGCUAUAUUGUCCCCCGAACAUCAUCAAAAUGACAUGUGAUCGAAAGUGCUUGGCAAAACUCAGAUAUUGCCAGAAAAGCUGAUUCAAGAAUGGUGAUGAACAGUCAAUCAUAUUGUUAUGGAAUUCUGCAUUUUGUUUAAGAUCACAUCUCAUCCUUCAACGAAACAUGUCUUGCUUUUGUCUCUUUGUUGUUUUGAAAUCAACAGAUGUUUAGCAUUUUAUCCUGACAAAAUAUUUUUUUCAAACUCCAACAUGCAAUAAAGGUUAAUCAAUCCGGAAAUUUAAAAGUGUUUUGAUUACAGAAAUGACUCGAUGCUUGAAAAUGACAUGAGGUGACUAAACAAUUUUGAACUCAUACCUCCUGAAACUGAACCACACAUCAUAUAGCUAAGUUUUAACAGUAUGCAUAAUGACAUGUAGUGGAUUCGGUAGUUAUGGACUCGUGAAUCAUGAUUCUUACAAGUCUCAAUCAUUCAUUGGAUGAGGUCAAAAUUUAUCGGUUCUAACUGACCUUGCUUGAAAUGAGAAAAGGCCAUCUUUGAUAUCCCUUUACUUUCUAAAGAUUAUAUCCCUUGUAGUCCCAUUUUGAGCCUAGUGAAAUAUUUUCUUUCAAAAAAGAAACCCUGACUAGGAUCACACCCCACACUAGGGGCAGAUGAGAGAUAUGUUGGAGACAUUGAUAUAAUUAAUGGAUAAAGGCUUAGAACAAAAGUCCAAUGUUUGAGAGAGAGCUAGAAGAAGAUACAUAGACUGGGGGCAUAUAAGAAAGUUUUGAGGAAGGCUAUAAAAAAAAUGAGAAUGAAAAAAAAAGGAAGUUGAAAUUGCCUUCACUUAAAUACAAGUCAAAGAUAAAGGAUGGAGAACGCUUAUCAUGUCUAUGAAAAGCAAAAGAAAUUUCAAUCAAGGAAGGACACAACAAAAGUCAAUACCAAAAAAAAAAAAAAAGAGACUAAGUUAUAAACGUGACUUUUGGUGUCCAUUAUAAAGCCUCUGAUGUUAUCAUAUGAUUAAGUUUGGUUAUUCAUCAAGGAAGGGUGGAUUUGCAUUAUGACUUAUGUUAAGCGAAGUCUGAUCUUUGAGGUUAACAAGGUUAUAUGUCGUUUCCUCUACAAAGACAACAACAUAAAAGAUUUGAUGAAUAAUUGAUGUUGAUCCUAGGUCUUUGAAACCCUUAAACACCUUUUGAGCUUUUGAGAUUCCUUUUCUUUCAUAGCCAUGAACCAUAGCCUGCAUUACAUGUUUUUAAAAGCCCUUUUUGAUCAAGUAAGCAAUCUGAACCGAUAAAUGGCGCUCUCAAAACUUAAAGAGCUUUUCCAUAAGGGUCGUGACUACAUGAAUUAAGCUACUAGUUAUUAUGCAUGCUGAUAAAAUAAGCUAUAAGAAAAGAAACAACCUUUCUUGAUAAAGCCUGAGCAUCUUAUUUUUGAAAUUCAUAAAAAUGUCACCUCAUCACAGACCAUCAAAAGUGUUGCUACCCAAUUUUUGACCCAUGUUUUUGAUAUAUUUUCAAAAAAUCCAAAAAAACAUUAAGAAAAAAAUUUGAAAAUUCAAAAAUAUAUAUUUUUUUUCUCUCGAGUCAACCGCAUCUCUUCAUUCAAACCAUGUCGACCAGGGUAAAAAAUGAGUUUCGGGCUGUUUCGGGUCAAAAACAUCAUUUUCGACCAAAAUCGGGUUCACCGGGUCAAUACGGGUCAUACCAUGUUGACCAAGGUAAAAAAUGAGUUUCGGGUCAAAAACAUCAUUUUCGACCAAAACCGAGUUCACCGGGUCAAUACGGGUCAAACCAUGUCGACCAGGGUAAAAAAUAAGUUUCGGGCUGUCUCGGGUCAAAACCGUCAUUUUCGACCAAAACCCGGUUCAUCGGGUCGAUACCCAUCAAAUUUUUUUUUUGGUAUUCCAUUUUUUUUGCGGUUGAAACGAGAUUUUUCUAAUACUGAUUUGAAUUUUUAGUUUUACCCAUGUAAAUAUUUAUUAUUAUAUAUAAUAAAACAAAAUUAUGGUAGUUGCGUGCAUUAUUUAUUAUUAUAUAUAAUAAAAUAGAAUUAUGGUAGUUGUCCCGUGGCUAUAAAUAGCCACGAGAGGAGAAGGCAAAGGGGGGAAGAGAAACAAAGACAGAAAAGAGGAGAAAGAAUUGUAAUACUGUGCAUGUUUUUUUUAGUUUUCCACUUGCGAGUAGGAUAUAAUUUUUUUAAAAAAAACAAUUUGAAAAAUACCAAAUAUAUCCCGACUCAUCUAAGCCAUUGAAUUAAUUCAAGAUUUAAUCCCAUUGCGCCACGUCAUCCGAUGCACCGAGCUUUCGGUAUACCGCGCAACACAGGUUAACAUCCUUCAGCAUUUAAUCCCAUUGCGCCACAUCAAAAACCAAACAAUCUGGGCCGCGCGAUCAACCUGAAGAUCUAGCCAAUCCCAGCCAUCCGAUCGUUUCAUCCAAGAUCCAACGGUUAACAUCCUUCAGCGGCACCGGUACACCAUACACGCGUCCGCACUGUAGUAAAUCUCAGAGCAUCUCUCUCCUCUCGCCGGCGACUCUCUCGCCAGAAAUCUCGCCUGAAAAGCUCGCCGCCACCAACAGUAGCUGCGCGUGAGCCACACGCGCCGCCAGUGGCAUUUUCGUAAAUUUCCGAUAGAUCCGAGGGUAUUUCAGUAUUUUACCUAUACUGUGUCACUUAGGUGAUUGUUUUUUAGAUUUCUAACAUUUUUUUUAUUUUGUGUAUAAAUUUUCUUGUAUGUUGUAAAACAAACAAAAAAAUAAAAUAAAAAAGAAAGGAAUAACAACGCGGGUCCAACACCCAUCCUAUCAUGUUAUCGUUCGUGGGUCCAAAGCCCAAAUCUCAAAUAUAGAUACCCAUUCUCAACGAUAUAAAAAUAAUUUUAUAAACAAAUACUGUUCGUCGACACGUCUCUUUUUCAUAAAAGGACCGAUGUCAAAAGUUUAAAUACCAAUAUGGAUUAUGUCCAUAGUUUUUUUGGUAACUUAGACGUAAAUCUCUUUUUAGGGUUAAACGUCAAUAUUUUAGACAAGUCUCCUAUUUUUAGGGACUGAUGUCAUUUUUUAACGUGUCUCCUAAUUUUAGGGACCGACGUUAACUUUUAUAAAAAACAAAAAUUACAAAUAAGCUCGAAAUAUAAUAGCAUUUGAAUCAGAUAUAAAAACACACAAGUAAGGGUAACCUUUCUUUUGAAAGGAUGUUUUAAGGGUGGUGUCUACCUUCCCUUGAUCAUAACUAACCAAGUACCCGAAUCUUUGGAACCAGUGUCUAAUUUGGGAUUUCUAGUUCCCUCAAAUUACUAGAUGGCGACUCCAAUAUAAUUUUCAUUCCCCCAAUUAAACAAAUCUUUUUUGUUAAAUAAACAAAAAUGAGCGGAGCCGUCGCCCGACGUCGUGUAUCGACAGAAUGGCGACUCCACUAGGGACUAGGGUUGAACCAACUGCUUGUGUGUGCUUUUCAUUUUUUUUUAUUGGUAUUUAUUUUUUGAGUAUUCAUUUUAUUUGCACUAUUUAUUUUAUGCAAUAUCAAUUGUAAAUCAUUUCAUUUUUUAAUUACACAUGCAUGCAUGUUAUUUAUUUGUGUAUUCACACACUUCACAAUGAACCCAUAAAAGCUCUGGACCCGAGCUCGUCCUUUUUAAGAUUAGAAAAGAAAGAUUCAGGUGGCAAGUGUGACUUAUGUCCACUGAUGCUCAUUUGGACUUUCGCUUGGAUUGUAACUCACCCUAUGCAACGGGUAUUGUGGAAUUUUCUUCCCAUACUCAUGUUGUAUAAGGUUAAGAGGCCGACUACCCCAUGGGUAAUUCGGGCAAUCUAAGAACCAAAGAAAAUCUUUAAGAUUAGAAUCAACUGAGCCAAACCCUAUGAGCUAGAUCCUAUCAAUUAGGAUAUACCUUUAGGACACAAACAAAUAUCAAUGCAUUAACAUACAUGUUCAUAUAUAUUUCAUAUUCUCAUUAAAUCUCCACCGAUCCUCAUAGGAAGUGUGAGAUAAAAAAAAAACAUUACUAUUGAGGAAUUUUUGACCAGAUCAGAUUUGAACCAACAUGAUGAAGGGGAUUGUUUGCCAUCAGAACAUGACAUCAAAUUUCUCCCCUAAAUCGGUUCAAGUCCCUGUAGGUUUGGAGUCCUCAGUGAGAACUUUUUUUAAGAGAAUCUAAUCUGGUCUGUUCCUCGUUAUAAUUUAAAAAAACAAUUUUGAAACCAAUAACAAUCAUGCAUACACCAUAUGACUUUUUGCAUCCAUUUGUGCAUUUCAUUUAGUUUACUUGCAUUCACUCAGGUUGAAAUAUAGGUCCCCCAAGAGGCCCUAAAAUUCAUUACACUCGAUUACGAAGGAAGAUAAUGGAGAACGAAGAAAGGGCCCACCUAGAGGCUCAUUAUCAAAGAGAGUUGGAGAACAUGAAAAAUGAUAUAGCACGACUUACAAGUCUACUCGAGCAGGCCCUAGUAGCCAAGUCUGGGGAAGGUACCUCAACUCAGCUGGCAGUUGCAACUCCAUCUAUAUCUAUGCCAGCAGCUCCUUUUGUAUUCCCGCCUCAAAAUUUAGGGGCAAAUCCCUCUUCAUUUGAACAACAGUUCACUGCCAAUGUUCCACCAGCACAAGUGCCAGUUACUGUAAACCUGGCAACUGAUGACCCACAAAGGAUGAAAUUCUCCGAAAAUGUCGAUUAUGAUAAAUUGACUGCUCUAGAAGCAAGAUUGAAGGCAGUCGAAGGGGCAGACUUAUAUGAUCUUGUUUAUGCUGCAGAAAUGUGUUUAGUUCCAAAUGUAGUUGUACCCAAAGAAUUUAGGGUACCAGAAUUCAUCAAGUAUACUGGAACUGAAUGCCCAAUCACUCAUCUUAAAUCUUACUGCAAUAAGAUGGCAGAAGUAGUGAAUGAUGAGAAACUUCUCAUCCAUUUCUUUCAAGACAGUCUUUCUGGAUCGACAUUAAGUUGGUAUACAAGGCUGGAUAAUACUAAGAUCAGAAAGUGGAAAGAUUUGGUAAAAGCCUUUGUGGAGCAGUAUAAAUUCAACAUGGAGGUAGCCCCGGACAGGUCAAGCUUGUUAGUUAUGGAGAAGGGCAACAAAGAGACUGUCAGAGAAUACGCUUUGAGAUGGCGUGAAAAAGCAUCUCAUGUGCAACCCUCUUUGUUAGAAAAAGAAAUGGUCACUCUAUUUUCUAACACUUUUAAAUCUCCAUACUUUGAACACCUGGUGGGUAGUUCAGCUCAGCAUUUCUAUGAUGCUGUAACUAUCGCUGAGAGAAUAGAACAAGCGAUAAGAACAGGGAGAAUUUCCCUUGGGGGCAUCUAAAGCAGAUAUGAAGACCUUGACAAGGCUAGCCAUGGAAUUUUACCUGGAUGGAAAAAUUCUAUGUAAAAGAUCAUUCAAUGGCACUGUACUAAGAUGUCUAGAUGAAAUCGCAGCUAAGGUAGCCUUGCAAAAAAAUUCAUGAAGGAAUUUAUACAACUCAUGCAGGGGGGCAUAUGAUGGCUAGACAAAUGCAACGAUCUGGGUACUUCUGGAUGACCAUGGAGAAAGACUACAUCGAUUAUAUCAGAAAAUGCCAUAAAUGUCAAGUGUACAGUGAUAAGAUAAAUGCACCUCCAUCUCCUCUGUUUAAUAUGACAUCAUCGUGGCCAUUUGCAAUGUGGGGAAUAGAUGUGAUUGGGCCAAUCAACCCAAAGGCCAGCAAUAGGCAUCAAUUUAUCUUAGUAGCCAUUGAUUACUUCACAAAGUGGGUGAAGGCCCAUAUGUAGUGAAGAAAGCAUUCUCCGGAGGGGCUCUGUUGUUGCCUAGGAUGGAUGGAGAUGAUUUAUCUAGGCCUGCGAACUCUGAUUCUGUGAAAAAGUAUUAUGUAUGAUGUGUUUCAUCCAAUCAAAUCAAUGAAGUUUUGGCCAGGAAAUUCCCUUUGCAUAUACCUCACCAAAAAGCUCAUGCAUGAUCUCAAUUGCUCAACAAUUUGAUCUUUCAAACUUUUUUUUACUAGGAGAAUCCAUUCUUCUUAAAUGAGGUUUUAAAAGAACUGAUUUUGUUUGUGAUUUCAAUGAAAUAAAUCAAUGAUUUGUUUGGAAUAAUGUUCAGAGCAAUUCCCUUGAAAGAGAUGACCAAACAAGUCAAAAAAAAAAAACAUGCAAUUGGAACAACUAUCACCCAAAUUAUGUCUUGGAUCCACAUUUUAUCAGCAUGAAUAAUGGUUGGUAGUACAUUAGUUUGUCAUGGACUCGCAAAACAUGGUAUCUUACAAAUCCAAAGCAUUACGUUGGAUAUGGACAAAGUUUAUUGGUUUUAACUGAUCUUACUUGAAAUGAGGAAAGGCCAUCUUUGAUAUUCCUUUCACUUUCUUUAAAAUUAUCCUUUGCAGUCCCAAUUUGAGCUGAGUCUAUUUAAAGCCUUUUCUUUCACGAGAACCUUAACUAAGAUCACACCCUACACUAGGGGGCAAAAAGAGAAAUAUGAUUAAGGAAAUUGUCUUGAAGGCAUGUGAGCUUAUAAAGAAAGUCUGACAACAAAGAAUUCAAUUAAAUUCCAAACAAUUGAGAGAAUUCCUAACAAAUAUGGGAAUAACAAAAAGAAAAUAGAAGUUCCUCAUUUGGAAUAUUCAUCAUCAUUUUUGUUGUCAAGGUAGCAAAAGAAAAUGCCAAGACAAGAUAAUAGUGAUCUAUAGUUUAUAAGCCCUUAAACACUUUUUGAGCUUAUGGAAUACCCUUUCUUUUAUAGCCUUGAGCCAUAAACUACAUUGCGUGCCUUUGAAGUCCUUUCUAAUCAAGUAAGCCACCUGGAUCAAUAAACGGCGUUCUCAAAAUGUAAGAGACUUUUCCACAAAGAGUCAUGGCGUAGCAAAUAAUUACUCGUUAUUAUUCAUGCUGUUAAAAAGAGUGUUUCUAAAGAUAAAAGGCAAAUUAUUUCUUUUCUCUCAAAAUACCUUCAAGCAAUCGCUUGAACACUUUGAAAACCAAAGCAGAAGGUCAUCUCAUCACUUACCUUCAUCUUAGAUUACUUUUACCAAGAGAUUUGACAUAAAGCCCCAGAAUUGCCUGAACAUUGUUAUAAACAGACAUUGAGAGUUUCAGUUUUCGAGAACAAAACAGAUCUUUUGAAAAAUCAUUUUUGGAAAAAGGUUUUCUUUGUAAGAAAAAUGAGCAUAUAACACAUUAUGAGGCACCAUUAGAAAAUCAGAGAUUCUAAUGACAACAAGAGCAAAGGAGGAAAUGAAAUGAGGCAGUUAAUUCUCCCAGGGGGCAGAGAAGCGGUUACCAGAUCCGUAAUGGACCAGAUCCGUAAUGGCACAAAGAAAUUUGCUUCCCUAGUGGAAAAUACACGUGAUAAACUGUGGGCUUCUUCUAGCAUGAGGACUGAAAUAUUAUGAUGUCCAGUAUCUAUGAAAGGAGAUUGUUGACUCUUACAAUAUGAUCAGUUAGACAACAAGAUAACUGAUACAUCUUCAGUACGAGAAAUGCAGAUGAAAUCCCAGGACAAUGUCGGGCCACGGAGAAGCUGAUUCGCUCAGUGAAGUUACUAAUAGAGAAACGUGCAGUGACUGUUGGGAAACUCAAACAAUGCUUAUCUUAGAAAAUGGACAACAUGGGUCAGCUUGAGUAGACUUGAAGUACGCGUAAAUCAAAAGAGCUCACUUAAAGUCAAAACCCUCAAACAAGAUGAACGGGGAUCUAUAUUUCAAAAACAGGUAAGAUACAUUGCAUAUCAUCUCACUUCACAAGCAUCGCAUAUUUGUUUUGCAGAUAUCUCUCGAAACAAAACUCCUCACGGGAUCCAACGAGACUCGGAUGAAAUGACGUCCUUCUAAAUCAUAUCAAGUAUGGCAAUUCCACAAAGGCAAAAUUCAUGAAUGAAGACGAGAAGAUGGAUUUUUAUUCAUAGGCAUAAUGGUUUACAAGUACAAACGUUAAACACUGCGAGGACGAUUAGGGAUAUUUUCAUCUUGAUGGCCAAUCAUGCCUCGGAAUUCCUCAAAUUGCUUAUGCAUGCGCUCCAUCUCUUCCUCGAACUCGAGGUGUCGAGUGUUAACAUAGUCCCUCCAAAAGUCAACACGUGCAUUGAGCUCUUGGUUUCUCCUCUCCAAUUCGUUCCUGUAACGUCUCUCAUCAUGGAGCCUUUUCCUUAAAUUCUCAAUCUGGUUAUGGAGCUCAGGAAUUUGAGUAUUCAACUCAAGUCUUUUGGCAUGAAGACGCUCCGCAACAUUCACCAAAGACGAAGUAGCUCUGAUACUAAGAGCAAGUGACUGAUUCACUGAUUCAAUGGCAUGAAGGGUCAUGUCUCUAGCCACAGCUACAUCGGUAUCUUCAUCAUCCAUUACAGUAUCGUCUAUUGUAACUGGACGACCAUUUACUUCAAAGGUAGUACGCCAAACUACAGGCUCUGCCUCAGGAACAAGGUUUGGAUUAGCAUUGGAAGAAGAGGAAGACAUGGUUAAAACUUCAAAAGUUAAGAACUUUGAGAGUAUUGAAAAUGCGAGAAGUUGAUGAUGUCUUUUGCCCAAUACUGCGUGAUUUAUAGGGAAUUUGCUCCUGCCAUCAUUUUGAACAGAAGAUCAGAUCUUAGCCGUAGAUACAAAACUUCCUUGGGAAGUUUUCCUCAUCUUUUGGGAUCCAUUUCCAAAUCAAAUCCCAACCGUACAUAUAAGACUUUCUUGAGAAGUUUUCCUGAUCCAUUUACAGAUCAAAUCUCAAUCGUACAUACAAGACUUUCUUGAGAAGCUUUCAUCAUCUCUGAGAUCGAUUUACAAAUCAGAUCUCAACCAUACAAGUAUGACUUCCUUUAAAAGUUUUCAUCAAUCUUCAAGCUCAUUGCUGAAAUCACUUUCAUGUAUUUCACAAAACCUAUAUUGAAAUCACUUUCAAGCAUUUCACCAUCGGGCAGGUCGCUUGGAACAAUUUGACCACUUGCGAGUUUCCUCGCAUUUUUUUUAUUUAUCGGGCAGGUCGCUGGAACAAUUUGACCACUUGCGAGUUUGCUCGCAUUUUAGCAUCGGGCAGGUCGCCUAGAACAAUUUGACCACUUGCGAGUUCCCCUCGUAUUUUAGCAUCGGGCAGGUCGCCUCUAACAAUUUGACCACUUGCGAGUUCCCUCGUAUUUUAUCAUCGGGCAGGUCGCCUGGAACAAUUUGACCACUUGCGAGUUCCCCUCGCAUUUUAGCAUCGGGCAGGUCGCCUGGAACAAUUUGACCACUUGCGAGUUCCCUCGCAUUUUAUCAUCGGGUAGGUCGCCUGGAACAAUUAGACCACUUGCGAGUUGCCUCGCAUUUUUUUAUUUAUCGGGCAGGUCGCCUGGAACAAUUAGACCACUUGCGAGUUUCCUCGCAUUUUUUUUCAUUUAUCGGGCAGGUCGCCUGGAAUAAUUAGACCACUUGCGAUUUUCAUCGCAUUUUAUCAUCGGGCAGGUCGCUUGGAACAAUUAGACCACUUGCGAGCUUCCUCGCAUUUUUUUUCAUUUAUCGGGCAGGUCGCCUGGAACAAUUAGACCACUUGCGAUUUUCAUCGCAUUUUAUCAUCGGGCAGGUCGCCUGGAACAAUUAGACCACUUGCGAGUUUCCUCGCAUUUUAUCAUCGGGCAGGUCGCCUGGAACAAUUAGACCACUCACAAAAUUCUUUACUUCACAUUCUUUCUAUAUGGGUAGGUCGCCCAUCACAACGAGACCACUUCAUCAUAUUUUUUCCAUCUGGGUAGGUCACCCAUUACAAUGAGACCACACUUCACAUUUUUUUCCAUUUUGGGUAGGUCGCCCAUCACAAUGAGACCGCUUUUUCACAUUUUUUUUUCUAUUUGGGUAGGUCAGCCAUCACAACGAGACCGCUUUUUCAUAUUCUUUCCACUUGGGUAGGUCACCCAUCACAAUGAGACCACCAUUUUUUCUGGGUAGGUCACCCAUUAGAAUGAGACCAUUCUCCAUCUUCUUCUUUUUUCCACCUGGGUUGGUUACCCAUUACAAUGAGACCACUCUUUCCUUUUUUGGGUAGGUCACCCAUUACAAUGAGACCGCACUUCAUAUUCUUUCUAUUUGGGUAGGUCACCCAUCAUAAUGAGACCAUUUUUUUCACAUUCUUUCCACCUGGGUUGGUUACCCAUUACAAUGAGACCACGUUUUACACAUUCUUUUGUUUUGAUUGAAUGAAGUUGCCUGAUGGGAUCUCAUGUAGCUUUGGGUUAAAGGGAAUCUCCAUAUGGGAUUUCAAGUUGACCGAGCUACACACAUUCUUUAGUUUUGGUAAAGGAGGUCGCCAGAUGGGAUCUCAGGUUAACGAAAAAAAGAGAGACAGAAAGACAAGUUUUUUUCUUUACAAAGCUUACUAUGCAAAACAUCGAGGAUUUUUGCUUCGUAAGCAUUGUAAAGAGGUUAACAUCCUUCAGCGGCACCGGUACACCAUACACGCGUCCGCACCGUAGUAAAUCUUAGAGCAUCUCUCUCCUCUCGCCGGCGACUCUCUCUCUCGCCUCCGAUCUCCCAUCUCCGGCCGUAUCAAGCCUCCGAAACACCACAGAAAGGUUCCUCACAUGCUGUAAAGUAGAACCCCGGUGGUUUUCAUCGUUGUCACAGCCUCAUCUGGCCGGAAAAAGGCUGCGAUCGUCGCCGGCCACCGAAGCUUCAAGUCGUCGAUUCUACCUCGUCAGCCAUCAACGACCGUCGAGACCACCACCAACAGAAUCCUCAACCUCAGAUCUACCAGAACCGACCAUCGUUUGGCCAGAAAUCUCGCCUGAAAAGCUCGCCGCCACCAACAGUAGCUGCGCGUGAGCCACACGCGCCGCCAGUGGCAUUUUCGUAAAUUUCCGAUAGAUCCGAGGGUAUUUCAGUAUUUUACCUAUACUGUGUCACUUAGGUGAUUGUUUUUUAGAUUUCUAACAUUUUUUUUUAUUUUGUGUAUAAAUUUUCUUGUAUGUUGUAAAACAAACAAAAAAAUAAAAUAAAAAAGAAAGGAAUAACAACGCGGGUCCAACACCCAUCCUAUCAUGUUAUCGUUCGUGGGUCCAAAGCCCAAAUCUCAAAUAUGAGAUACCCAUUUCUCAACGAUAUAAAAAUAAUUUUAUAAACAAAUACUGUUCGUCGACACGUCUCUUUUUCAUAAAAGGACCGAUGUCAAAAGUUUAAAUACCAAUAUGGAUUAUGUCCAUAGUUUUUUUUGGUAACUUAGACGUAAAUCUCCUUUUUAGGGUUAAACGUCAAUAUUUUAGACAAGUCUCCUAUUUUUAGGGACUGAUGUCAUUUUUUAACGUGUCUCCUAAUUUUAGAGACCGACGUUAACUAUUUUAUAAACAAAACAAAAAUUACAAAUAAGCUCGAAAUAUAAUAGUAUUUGAAUCAGAUAUAAAAACACACAAGUAAGGGUAACCUUUCUUUUGAAAGGAUGUUUUAAGGGUGGUGUCUACCUUCCCUUGAUCAUAACUAACCAAGUACCCGAAUCUUUGGAACCAGUGUCUAAUUUGGGAUUUCUAGUUCCCUCAAAUUACUAGAUGGCGACUCCAAUAUAAUUUUCAUUCCCCCAAUUAAACAAAUCUUUUUUGUUAAAUAAACAAAAAUGAGCGGAGUCGUCGCCCGACGUCGUGUAUCGACAGGCGGGAGCUGUCGGUGGUGGUCACUGUGUUGACAGCGUGGACAACGCUGUUCGGCUGAAGAAGGAGACGGCGAGUCUGAGGCGAUGGGGAACAACUGGUUUCUGUGGGCACCGGGACUGUGGUUUCGAAGGAGGCGCCGUCGAGGGAAGAUCGAUGGAGGGGGAAGCAGCGGGGGAAGAAGAGUUGUGGCUGGUUCUCCGUGGGGAAAACAGUGAUGGCUGCUUCGGUUUGAUUUUGAAAGAGAAGGGGUUGUUGGUUGUUGCCGGCUGAGAGAAGGAAAUGAGGGGGGAGACGUGAGCUACUGGAUAGAUGGAGGGGCUGCUGUGUUUGGGGAGAAGGGAUGGUUGGGGAUCGCAGUAGUGGAGGGAUCGGAGUGGCAGAGGACCGUCGGCUGGCUUUUUGAUGGCUGGGAGUUGGUCUUCUUCUCUUUUUUGAUCGGGGGCUGAGCGGCGGCUGAGAGGCAGAAGCUGGAAAUGGCGGGGAGAGAAUCGUGAGGUGAGGGUUGUGUGUUGAUGGCUGUCCAGAGGGAGAAGGAGCUUUGGCCAGCGGCUGGUCUCCAAAAACAUCCAAGGCCAAAGGUUGGGCGGCUAUGUUUGGAUUUUUAGGGUUUAGAUUUUGUGUGAUGUUUCAAAAUUGCCCCCCUCCAUUUGAAUGUGUUGAGGAAACCAGUAUUUAUAGGUAAAAUAUUGCUAGGUUUUUCAACUUGGUCCCUCAACUUCUUUUUUUUUUUUGUAAAUUUUGGUUUUUCUUAUUUUUUUUGUAUUUUUUUGAAAACAAGCAAUAUCAACGUCGACUCAAUGAGGAAAAUCAAUGAUUUUAAAAAUGACGCGUGAAAAGUCGAACGCGUUUGAAAAUCUUUUUUUAAAAAAUUUAAAUUCUUUUUUUUGAGACGACGCUGAAAAUGCUAAAAUGACGAGAAUAUAUUAAAAAAACAUAUUUUUUGGAUUUUCAUUGUUUUUCUCUAUUUUUGGAUUUUUUUGAAAAUAUACCAAAAACAUGGGUCAAAAAUUGGGUAGCAACAUCAUUAACUGCAUGUCUUUAAAUACAUGAGAAAACUUAACAAACCUCCCUAGUUAUCAACCACUAAUUGUAGUGGACAAUGUGUUGUCACUAGCCACUAACUGUAGUGGACAAUAUACUGCAACUAAUCUUAGCAACAACUUCAGAAAAACAAGGGAUUUACUUUGACAAAAUCAAAACAGAAAUGAAAGAAAAGAAAACAGACAAUACUUGAUUAAAUAACAAUUAAACAACAUGAAACACUAGAGUUACAAAAUGUCAAUUGUCUAACAUCUUCCUCCUUAUUAUAUAAGCAGCACCAGAGAUUGCUACCAGAAAAAUGAUUGCUGUUAUUGUUGGGGCCAGAAUUCUUAAAUAUGGUUUCUUUCUUGAUUUUCUUUGUGGGGGAAGUGAAGGCAACUUUGACACGUCAAGACUUUGAGCUUGUCCGCCUCUGUUGAAGCUCCACCCCAGAAUAUAGUGGCUGCUAGCCACUGCUCCAGUAGAUGAAGAAAAACCAACGUACAUAGAAUCCAACAUAACAGAAGAAAGAUCGAGAGGUGUUGACAAAAGAGGCAAGGUUGGUUUUGCUCUUGUGACAGGAGCAACUGUAACAUUGAGUAGCUUCUCUACUUCAUCAUAAUCUAUCCACACGUGCAUCACAUGACCACUUAUGAGAGACAAGCUCUUAUUCUCCUUUUCCUCAUCUGAAAAGUAGGUCACCGGAGCAGAUUUAUUGGAUAUCAAGCUGUUUACAUCAAUUCCAACGUGGUUGUCAUUGAUGUCUUUAAGAUCCGGGCUUGGAACUGCAUCCAGCUCAACUGCCACUAGAUGGUUUGAAGGUAGGCCAUUGCUUGUAGGAUUGAGGAUUCCAAAGUACUGAGUUGCCAUAGCCCCUGUGAAGUCCACAGAUGGAGAGAUUGUGAAGGCCAUGCCAUGGCCACCAAGUGUAGGCAGCUCCGGGACCAUGGCAAACGCAAACUGGGUAGAGAACGAGAGAGACCGAGAAUUGUUGAAUAAAGAUGUGUUGAACUGAAAAGGGAAUGGGAAGAAAGCACGGCCAAUUUGCUGUUUUGAAGUGUUUGUCAGCUCUAAGAGCCCAUUUGGAUGGAUUUUUGCAAUCCCGCUGAGGAGCAGGUCGGGUCCAGUGAAGCCAUGAUAGAUGAAGUGGUUUUCCUCUUGAGCUAAGGCCAAGAGCUUCAAGGAAACAAACAGGCCGAGUAGAAAGUGCAAUGAUUUGAACGAUGCAAUCAUCAUAAGAACGUGCAGAAGAUUGUUUUUGCUUCUUCAGUUACACAUUGGUAAAAGAACAAACUUUUUUCGCUUCGAGUUUCUCCUUAUUUGUUGUUACAGUUUCAAAUCCUCAGUCUA